RNAcentral lists this long non-coding RNA (74063 nucleotides) under Setaria viridis. RNAcentral's name for it is "long non-coding RNA (SVIR_LNC002580)". The record is from RNAcentral. Lineage: Eukaryota; Viridiplantae; Streptophyta; Magnoliopsida; Poales; Poaceae.
UUUUUUUUUUUUGAAAUAAGUUUGUUCACGGUUAUAUCUCCGGCAGAUGACCGUUUCUCCCCCUCCGUGACUGAAUUCUGAUUUACAAAAAGUAGCGAUAGAAGUUCCUCUUGGCUAAUUACUCCUCCGGUGCUGAAACUGACAGGUCUGCAGGACAGUCUUGGUCUCUUGUAGGCUUAUGAAGUCACGUUUUCUACAUGCUCAAUUCACAAACACAAAUCACUUUGGGAUUACAUAAUUCUUCAAGCAAAAUAAGACGAAGGCUGGUCAGACUGCCAUCCAUCUAAACUUAAAAGUUAAAUUGGUGAUCCGAGAAAGACAAAUGUUUGAACAUGAGAUGGACCUGUACUAUAUUUCAUUUGUUGUGUCCCACGGAUUCUUUCGACUCUAAUAUCGAACAUUUUACAUUAAAUUCAAUAAGAUUUUCUGAAAGGUGUGUUGUUGAAGCGAACCCAGGAAAGCUUCAGCAGUGGCACCUUUCUAAACCAUAUAAGCAAUUCUUCCACUCUUACUACAUCUGCAAAUCAUGCAUGAUAAAACCAUCCAGCAAAAAGAAAGUAGUAUAUACAUGGCAUAUUGGCAUCACCCAUUACAAUAAGCACUGGUAAUUAGUACAACAAAGAAACCAAAUACUAUUACAGCAAUUGCACGCACGCUUUCUAGCUAGUGUUUCAAAAGCAGAGGAAGCCACCCUUGACCGCCGGCGGCAAGCUGGACUCCCCGCAGAGGCAGUCCACCUUCCACCCAGGCAGCGGUCCCACGUUGUCACCCUCAGCUCUUCUGCCGUCGCUGCCGCGCCACGCGGUGGCCGGAGACGGCGUGCCCGGUGUGCUGGGUUCCUUGCCCGCCUGCUUAUUCACCUCGUAGAUGGCAACGCCAACGCUGCCGCUCGCCGGCGCCACGUCGGGACCGGCGACAGUUAUCUCCGUCAUCUUACCCCUCCUCUCCAUGCCCAGAUCUCCAAUUCCUGCACACUGUUUGGUGAUUUUUUUUUUCUUGGCGAGUCUGCGUGCUUUUCUAUAUUAGCUUCCUGAAAUUGAGAAGCUGUUUUAUAGCUAGGACGACAGAGAAGAUGAUGGCAGCCGGGAAGAUGACUCGGCUGUCAAUUCCGGGAAGAAGACGAUAGCCAUAAAUGAUGAGCAACAGGUGGCAUGAAAUGGAUAAGAACGUGACAUGUGAUUUUUAUUCUAUAUUUUCUUUUUUUAUAAUGUUCAUUUUCUUUUAUGUGACGAAGGGUAUAAGAUCUGGUCAACACUAGAAAAUAAAAUAAACCUUAUAAAAACUCAGUUUAGUGGGGUCAACACUAGAAGUUGCGAUAAUGAUAUGACCAUUUCUUAGCUAGCAGCCAUGAAGAUUUUUCUAGGAACGACAGAACGGUAUUAGCACGAAUGUUGAAUACUGUUAGACUUCCCUGUCGAAUCAGUGAUCCAUCAUCAUGGAAAUUAGGGAACAACAAAUGUGACAGCUAAUGUAGAAAAUGAUAAAAAUGGACGACGAGGAAGCACAAAUUUAUACGGGCGAGAUAAAUCCAGGACUUCAAUUUUAGUUUAUGAGGUGCAUUUUGUUGGAUUUGGAUUCUUUUUCUAGCUACUCAACUAUCACAUCUGGCCUCUAGGAAAAAAAGAAUUAUUCAACAUAACCUGUCAAUUACUGUCACUGUGAUGAGUUAAUGGUGUGGGACCAAAGUCAAUAUCAAACUUAAUCAUUGCUUACUUUGUCAAUUUGGGGCCAUACACGCCAACUACUCUCCCUGUACUUUAGAUUUGUUCUAAAUUAAUUAAACUUGUCAAAUUUACAUUAAAAACAUCAACACUAACAGUAUUCAAAUAUUUCAUUAAAUCCACUAUAAAAUGUUCUUGAUAGUGCAUUCAUUUGGUAUUAUAGAUAUUAAUAUAUUUUUUAAAAUAAGUUAAUCAAAAUUAGAGCGUUUGGAGUAGGAGGGAGUACUACUCUACUAGAAAGACUACAAUUUUCCUUCUGUUGAUAUAUAUAUUUGGGGCAUACAUAGUAUAUUACUUUCUUUGUUUCUCUAUUUCAAAUCAAAUUGUAAUUUGCUAUAGCUUUGUCCUAAGUUAAAUUUAUCUAAUUUUGAUCAAAUUUAUAAAAAAAUGCAUUCAAACUAGUUUCAUUAGAUUUUAUAUUGAUAUACUUAUUCCAUGUUGUAAAUGUUAAUGUAUUUUUUCUAUAAAUUUGAUCAAAAUUAGGCAAAUAUGACGUAGGACAAAUUAUAAAAAUCUAUAAUUUGGAACGAGGAAUUAUUAUUGACUAUAUAAGCAACCGUGAUAUCUAUAGUUAAAUAUACUUAACAACAUGGAUUCUAUGGCCCUAUUUAGCAUGGCUCCAACUCCACAAUUUUCUGCUCCCACUCCAAACUCCAGCUAGAGCAAUCUUCACAUGGAGUUGGAGCUAAUGUGUAACACCCCAGAAUAUCAGCAACAUUCUGGAGCGUUACCACACUACGUUACAGCUAAUACAGGCACACACAUAAAAAAAUAGCAAUAAAGAUAAAAGAAUAGAGCACAUGGAAGCAACUUAAAUCAUCUAGAUAGAACAUCUUACAGACUGGAUCCAAAAGAGAUUAUAAGCUAAGUAAAGACUUCAAAACCGAACAUUUUUAUUACAACACAUAUGUCCAAAAUAUAUAUGAAGAAGUGUGCACACACGUGCUGCUACUCCCAUCCAACCAAGCACCCUCCAAACUCAAGAACCUGCGGAGAGGAAAAGCGUAUGAGCAAGCAAACUGCUUCAACCAAGUUAUUUAAAUCACAAUAUAUUACGCAAUAAUUUAAGAAUCAAUAUUAUGAAAGAAGCACCACACAUCUUCGAGUAGUAAGAUAAAUAAAUACUUCACAACAAUACUUCAUAAUGAUAUUGAAUGGUACAAUGCAAUGCAAUGCAAUGUAUGAAUUCACUUCUACCCACACAUCCCCAAAGAAGAAGGUGAGGGCUACAACCACAUUGCUAUAUCUCAACGUGCUAUGCCAAGUACUAUUGAAAAGGGUGGAGAACUUGAUGCUACAAUUUCUAAUGUAAUUCUUGGUCACAGAACCUCCACUUGUAGCUAGUUCGGUAGGCCUUGAGCACAUUAUUGCCAAACUUUAGUAACAUCUUCUAUAAGACAAUUCACCACUCAUAACUUUGAUCACAAAAGACCAACCACCACAAAGAGAUCAAAACUACACUAUAAUAAAGCAUGAGUGCAAAACAUCUGCAAAACCCACCAAUCACUACAUGCACCAAGCUCUAGGGAGAUUUUCUUCAAAACUCAAGUCUUGACUUCUUGGAAAACAUGGCUGAAUGAUCAAACUUCCUUCACACUUUUCCAAAACCGAAAUCAACUACAAAUCUCAAAGUACUCCAUGGGAUAGUAGUAGAGAGAUGCCAAAAGCUCAGCAUCAUCUAGGUAAUAAGAAAUAGGAAUAUAUUCACAAGGACUCCUAUUGAUCGACAAUUGCAAAGGAAGGGAAGGAUCCUAGUUUAGUAACCAUGGAGAGUAACAAUCGUUGCACCACAUUAGCACCUCCAGCAUCUAAGCCAUGAUGCGUUAGACCUUCUGCCAACUGAAGCUCAGUCAAAGGAGACGAAAAAACAUUAUGUCAUCUUUCACUAGCUCAGUAGACUUACAUUGACAUAGAACUGCAUCCAAACGCCAUUUGUUGUUGACUUAAAGUAAGCUCUAUACGGUGCUCAACACUAAGGCUAAGUGAAUUAACUUCAUAUGUCUCCAAAUAAAGCAACAUCAUGCUAAACAUGGUAGGCUUGCCAAAGAUUAAUCUCUCAACAUUGAAUUUGUCCUUUGGGAACGAACCUAUAAAAACUUCAAGCUUUAGUGCUCACAAACGGAUCAUGACACCGUAUUCAAUUGAUCACAUCCCAUUUGUAUUUCCCAAAUGCUCCAUGUCACUAUAACUCAGUAUGAGUAUCGAACUUCCGUUGUUGAACACAAUGGACCACUCCGCUAUGAAAAAAAUAAAAUGUAAACCAUAAUUUCAUAUUUAUCUUGUUAGUAUGAGGUACUGAAAUUAAAUGGAGGCAAUUCAUCAAACAACAAAGCUAAAGCAUCUAGACCACAUCGCUAGUUUACUUGCCUUCACCGAAGACCAAGAACAUGAGCUAAGCACGAUCCGAAGGCGCACCACCUGUUCACAAACAUAACUCAGCACUAACACAAACACACAAGCAUAAACAAACAUAAUUCAAAGUGUUCCUACCCUGAACCCGACAACCUCACAAAACCACACGCAAAACUAGACAUGACAGCAAUAUUGUUGCUUCUCUUUUUUGUAUCUUUUAAUUGUGAUGGCUAAAAAUUCUCAUCUUGUGCCAUCUGAAAGAUAACUUCAGAAAUUACAACUUUCUAGUGAUCCAUAAAUAGAGAAAAAAUCAUCAACAUAGGCUAAUCUGAAGAUGAACCUCAUACUGAAAAUCUGACAACAACUGCAGAAUGGUUCUAGUAAAAUAUGUAUAUUUGGAGCUCCAAAAUUCAUAUGAAAAUGCACUUAACCAAUCUGAAAACCUUAUAAAAUUGUCUAAAUCUUCUCGAACCACUAAAAAGUCCAAUUCAAUCGCUAGGUUUGCCUAACCUUCAAGAGAACAGAUUCUGCGCAUAGUUAAGAGUCUGAAAAACAGUCAGAAUCAAAACUUUGAUAUCUCCCUGGUCUUAACUCCGAUUGUAGUGUUCUUUGAGGCUAUGAAAAGCUAUGAAAAUCUUCUACAGCUCAUGAAUAGGUUUAUUAUUUUUUGAAUCCAUUAAGAGGACUCAAAACAGACAUUAGUGAAAACUGCGCAUAUUGACUACAUGCUGAAAACAGUGACGAGGGCAAAACUAUACCCUAGCCCUUAACGGCGUCGAGUACCACUACACGCACGUGCUAGAACAUCUGAAAUCUUAGGGAAAACAUGGAUUACAGUGGGCGCAUGCCUCACCUAGGGUUUCCCCUUCAAAACAGCAAGAGCAACGGCGACAGAGGCGAUCCCAACGAUGACUCCUGGUCAUUUUCCUCUCCCUAGCGACGAACGACACAGCAGCCCUGCCGAUUGCACCUAAAUUGCAACCCAAAUGGCGGCACCACCAUGAACAGCGAGGAAAGGAAAAUCGAUUGGGGAAACAGAGAGAGAAAAGGAAGUCCAACCAAUUUUUGAAGAGGAACGACGACAACGGGCGACGGCGGCGUACCCUAAUCUCUCCCCUUCUCCCUUCUCUUAUUCUCCCUCUCUCCCCUUUGGAUCACGGGCAGAAGGGGAGUGGCGGCGCAAGGGUAGGAGAUGUGGGGGUAUAGGGUUUAGAAAGGAUAGGUGGGCCGGCCAAGGGAAAUUAGAAACUCCAAACGAGAUAUAUGAGUAAUCAAACGAAAUGGAUUCAACGAGCUCAACGCAACCAUAGCAUCCGAGCGAUGGAUCUAAACAGUCAACUUUUAGCCCUCAAAUUUACAUAUUUCCACAUAGUGUAUUUUUUUUUUUGCGCAUUCUGGUUGUGACGUGACGAAUGGGGGUGUUUGAUUCAGAGGGUGUCCAACCUUUAAAAAAGGCAUUUUCAAGGUGAAUUGCCAUUACUGCCCAACUAGUGGCCCCAUCUGUCAUUCUCUUUGUCUCUAUUUUUUUCUUCUUGGGAGGAGUCUCAUCCAGCCGCUGUUCCUCUGCUCGCCUGGAGGCGCCGUACGGGGCCGGCCAUGGUGGAGCGAGAUGGGGCCGUCGGUGGUCGCACGGGACGUGAGGGCGCGACAGGGUGCGGCGGCGCUGGACGGCCCCGCCAGGGCGGAGCAGGACGGGCCGGCGGCGGCCACGCGGGAUGGGGAGGGCGCUGCGUGCGCGACGGGGGUGCGGCGGCCGGGCAGGCGGCACUGGACGGGACCGGCGAUGGCCGUGCGGGACGCGGAAGGCGCGGCAGAAGGCCACGGCGGGGUAGGACAGGUGCGGGACGCGGAGGGCGCGGUGGCCGGGCCGGCGGCUUGCUCGACGGGGUCCGGCGGCCAAUCAAGCGGCGCUGGACGGGGCCGUCCACGGCGGGGCAGGACGGGACCGGCGGCGACCGCACAGGACGAGGACGCGGCUGCCAGGCCGGCGGCGUGCGCGAGAUUCUCGGCCUUGCGUAGAAGCACCUCGCCAGGGUCCGCGGCAGGGGAAGGAGGCGGGGGUUGCUCGGGAGGGGCCGGGGGCGGGGAAGAGGUGGCGCGGCUCGGGCGGCGGCCUGGCCGGAGGGCGGGCGGAGUGGGGAGGCGACAGGCGGCGGCGGCGGCGCUCCUGCCAGGUGAGUCGGGGAGAGGAGAUCGGGAGGAGAGGGGCAGACAGGAACGAACCGGUACGCGUAACCGGUGGCAAAGGUGCUUCACAAGUAGGUUCAUAUUUGAGGUUCAUGCAGUUGCAAGUGAGGUUGCUUCGUCAAGAUAAUUUGGGACUCCACUGCUAAAAAGGUAGUGUUGGGAUGUUUGGCUGGCUCCACUCAACUUCACUUAGAGUUUGAAGUUGAAGUCAUGCCAAACAGAAUAUAUAAAACAAUAAAUGAGAACAAGUGGCGAAGAGAGUAGUUUCAAAUCAUGUGAAAGGCCGAAAUUAUUUCUGGUACACGGACUGGACCGAAAGAAGAAGCUGGGUCUCCCAACUGGGCUCGCAUCUGGGCUUUCCAUAGUUCAGCCUCAACAGGUGGGUCCCAAGGAAAGCUUCUAGAGGCUGGAGCCACAGAAAAGGCACGGGCCCACACGCCUCCUAGGUUCUCUCUUUCCCCAUCCUCUUCCGCUUCUCGCCGAACCCCCGAGACCCGAGUGCCCCCGCCGGCCCUGCGUGUCUCGCCCCGCAAGGAAUUCUUUGCCGAUUCCACUCCCCCAGGUCAUAAUCCGAUCGAUCGAUUGGUCCGCGAACCCGUCAUAUUCUGUUCUUGCUUCUUCAUCUUCAUCUAUUUAUAUGGAUUAUUGAAUUCUGCGUGUAUAUUUUGCCUUGUUUGGGUUUAAAUCGGCGGCUGGGGCGCAGUUCUUGAGUCGUCGGCGAUGGCGUCGAAGCGGAUCCUGAAGGAGCUCAAGGACCUGCAGAAGGAUCCCCCCACAUCCUGCAGCGCAGGUGAGUUUAUCCUUCUCCACCACCUAUUGAUUGGAAGGGGUCACGGCAUUAGAGCGUUCUGGACUAUGUGUAUGCUUCUGCUCGUGUGGUCGAUUGGUUCGUUGUAUGACUGAACAAAGGGCUAGCCUGCUCGUUUUCUUAUGUGCACGGAGAGUCGGUUUAGAUUGAUGUGGCUGAAGUUCCUCUGUCCUUUAGAUUGAUGGUUCUAUUAGAUGUUGGUCAGUCGCCUUCCCUACUAGGGCAGCCAAGAAAAGAUCAUGCUGUUAUUGGAACAUUAGUUCUGCGUAUCUUUAAUUCUGUGGCUCUAUUAAGUCAAUAAGAUUGCAACAAAUAUGGCUAUUGCUUCUCACCUGCUCAUAAAAUAAUUAUAAAAAAACUCAGUGCACAAAUUUACACUUCCAUGAAAGAACUUUUUUCCCUUUGUAGUUUUUAUAGAUAAUCUAGGGUGGCCGCAUGCUUGAUCAGACUGUAAUUAUGAGCUAUUGUGAUUAUAUAGAUUACUAUUGUUUAAUUGGUUCAGCGAUCAUUUUAAUUCCAGGUCCUGUAGGAGAGGAUAUGUUCCAUUGGCAGGCAACCAUCAUGGGCCCUUCAGAUAGUCCCUAUGCAGGUGGUGUGUUUCUGGUUUCUAUCCACUUCCCUCCGGAUUAUCCGUUCAAGCCACCAAAGGCAAGUCUAAAUUAGUUUAAACAAACACAAAUUUUAUUCAAGAUGAACAAGGUGCCCAUCUUUAAUUCUUCAUCUCUAUCAUUGCCCCUUUUUUUUGCAUCAGCUCAUAGUUUCAAUAAAAAAGUUUUCCAAUCUUGUGUCUUAAUAUUUAUGCAUGACAAACAUGUAAAGUUCAUGCAGUAACCAGAUAACCAAUGUUCUACCUGUCUUCUUCAUUAUUAUAGUGCUACUAAAUUGCUAUCUUGAAAUUCAACUUUGUACCAAGCAGUUACUUGAUUGGUUGGUAGGAUUUCCUCUGCAUGUGCUAGGUUUAUAGAUCAGUAUCCAACAGAAAUAGUGAUAUGGCAUAGUAGCUUAGAAGAUUUGAAGGUUUUCGUGGUUAUCUUACAUAUAAAAUUGAAAUGCUAAAUCGAGGGGCAGCUUUACUGCUAUGCGCUAUUUCUACUAGAAAUGUAGGAAACAUACAAAGAUAUCAUCAACCUUUUCAGGACUUGUAAAGAGGGCCUAUUUAUUGUACGAUUCCAUCAGAAAGUGGCAUUGAGCAUUGCAAGUUCCAUUGUACUUGGAUAUUAAUAUAUUAUGAAUUUACAAUGUUGGAUCUUUGAAGUUAUCAUGUUCUGAUGUUGAUUUGCCAGCACAUUUUUAUGGACCCCUAAUAGGGCUUGUAUUAGCUUAACAUAUGAGGAAAAUUUUGUGGGAUUCUUCUACUCUAGUGAGAAAAUAUCAGCCAUACUGUAUCCUUUAUAUGCCAUCACCUUGUUUUGUUGCGCAUGACUUAUACCCUAUAUUCUUCUCUUUGCCUGAUUUACCCUGCUAUAGUGAAGUUUGAUGGUAAGGAUUAGAAGGAUUAGUCUAAUAGAUGUCUUUUUUUAGUAUACAUGAUAUUGAGAGAAUCCAAACACUAAAGAUUAAUAAGGUUAAUUCACAUUGUCCUUGUACAUUGUAUUUCGCUCUACCUUUUUUGGUUGAUCUGUUUUCAUCUGCUUCUUGACCUGGUCACCUUUUGUUACAUUCUACUCCACCUAUGGAUGGGAACUGCUCCCUUCGUUCAUCUUUACAAAUUACAAGGUGUUUUUUUUGUUAGGAUAAGCUUUGGCCGAUUGUUACCCUAUCAAUAUGUCAUUCAUGUGAUACAUAAGUAAUUUUGAAUACGGAUCUAGUAGCAUCAAUUUUGUAUCGCAAAAAAUAUGUAUUGAUAGGAUAAUUGUGGUCAAAGGGUUCUCCCAACAAAACAAAAUACGCCUGUGUAAAGAUGAAUUGAGGGAAUACUAGGUUGUUAGGUCUACUAAUGAGCUAAUUUUAUUUUCAUAUUUCUUUGGUCAGUCUGCUGCUUUAUGUCUAGUGGUAAUGUAUAUGGAAAUUUCCUUUUCCUGUAGAUAAUAGAUUAGUGGGCAGUAGCUACAAUUGAUCAAACUGUUGUUUGAUUAUCCUACUGUGGUAUAUUUUUAAUCAAUCCCUUCUCUCUCGAUCAUGGAUGGAAUAUAUCGUGCUAUUCUGAAAGUAUGUCUGAUGCUGCAGGUUGCUUUCAAGACAAAGGUUUUCCAUCCAAAUAUCAACAGCAAUGGAAGCAUCUGCCUCGAUAUCCUCAAAGAGCAGUGGAGCCCAGCAUUAACUGUUUCCAAGGUGAUUGACCUCAGCUUAAUUUCUCUUUGGGCAAUGAAAUUUGUAUGUGUAUGCUCUCAAAAAAAAAUUGUAUGUGUAGGACAUUUUUCAAUAUGUUUUCUACUGUUACUGUAGAUUGAGGUACAUAGGAAACCAACCUCAUCUGCCCCUGCUAACUUCCACUAUUUUGGUUUGUUUUAGGUGCUACUUUCAAUCUGUUCACUGUUGACGGAUCCAAACCCAGAUGAUCCGCUGGUUCCAGAGAUAGCUCACAUGUACAAGGUGGACCGAAGCAAGUACGAGACCACUGCGAGGAGCUGGACCCAGAAGUAUGCAAUGGGUUAGCCAGUUAUAUUAGACCUACAGGAGCAGGCAGGGAAUCCGUUAUAACAUACUAAUGGACCUAUCCCUACUAUGCUAUGAUUCUGGGUAUUGUAAUAGCAACAAAUGUCGUAGGUCGAUGGUUACUGUUGCGCAUCCUAUGAACAUAUAUGCAUAUGCAUUAGCAUGGUUUCAACAGAUGAAUAGAGAUUAAUAAACAUGCUUGCAUGUUUGACAUGGAUGGCAUAUUGUUUCAUCAUAUCUGCUCAUAAGGUGUGAUUUGCACACCACGUUUUAUCGGUGUGCGGCUGCUGAAUGCCCUGCAAGCUGUUGGGGAUGGUGCCUGCGUUUGCUGCAAGCCUGCAAAGAACUGCCUCCUUGUCCAGUUUGCCGUGCAAAGUGUUGUUCGUACUGAAUUUGCGAAAGAUGCCGAUCCCUCUCCUCCGUUUUGGAUCUGAUUUUGUUUUGGUGUGGUAAAUGUAGUCUUGCUACAACUGUGGCGUGCUUAUACUUAUGGUAUGCUCGAGCACCGAAAGGGAAAACAUUCUCGAAAGGGAAAACAUUCUAGUAGAUUACUUUUGCAAAGAUAAACCUGAUAGCCUGUUCAUUUGCUUCUUCAGUUCAAACACCGUGGCAGUACAUGGGGUUUAAAUUGCUUAAGAACAACAGGUAGCCUGUUUUUGUAAGAGCAGCACCGCAGAAGAUAUUGAAAGAUUAGACCAGUUGACCCUGUGCUCAGAACAAACAGGUAAAGUUUUAUUUGUUCUUUCUGGGGAAAAAAAAGGGAGAGUUUUUCUUUAUUUGUCGCUAGCAACUGCAUUGCAAAAUGCAGAAGGCCGAUCUGAUCCAACCUGACCCGAACACCGAACUGAUGGCUAGCAGGAAAUGGCGAGUUCAGAAUUUGACUAUCCUGCAAAAAUACACUAGCACACCACAAGCAAGAUUUCCGAAACUCUCCAAAAUGCAAUACAUCUGACAGCCAUUGGAACAUCUGACAUGAAAGCAUGUACAUGAAGAAGUAGCAGUAACAUUAUACACAUGCAAAACCCAAUAGAAUCCAUCACAAAUGAAUACGGACCGACCGACCACCAAUGAUGCCUCAAAUAAUCCACCACUACCACCCUACCAAAAGGAGGAAGGAAAAAACUCUGCUCUGUUCUGCUCAGAAGAGCUUGUACGGGGAGGAGGCGUCGAGAGGGUGGAUCAGGUAGGUGAGCACCAAGGCCACGAUCAUCAGCAGGUACGCGAUGCCCUGGUCAAUCGAUGUUCCUGCAAAAACAGAUCAGGCAUAAUUCCUUUAGCUAAGGAAAAUUAUCUGGGGGCGAAAUGUAAUAGUUGAAGCUACAGCAAAGCAAAGGACGAGCAGUAUUCAAGGAGUAAAUCUGCUCUGUAUCGUGUCAGGUGACUCACCGUCGCUGGUGGGCGCCGGCGCGGGGGCCUGCGCGGCGGCGAGGGCCGGCAUGGCGAUGGCGAAGACGAGCGCCGCCGCGACGGCGAGGCCGAAAGGAGUGGUUCUUGAUGCCAUGGCGGCUGGUGAUGGGAUGGGAGUGCGCGUGAUUCGGGGGGAGGGAGAAGAGGAACGAGCAAGAAGAAAUCUCUGUGGCCGAGGGAUACGCGCCUAUCUCUCUGCUUGUACGCAUGUGCAUUCGCUCCUCUCUCCCCCCUUUAAAACGCCUCUCCCUCCCUCUCUCUCUCUCUCUCUAGAGUCCAGACUCCAGAGCGUAAUAAUUUAGCGGCAACGGCUCUCUCUCUCUCUCCCUUCCUCUCUGUGUGUGUUUUUUCUCUCUCUAGAACGAACGGCACCGCUGGACCUCGCUGGGACUGCCAUGGCGUGUUGCGCCGGCGGCGGGGCCCGCGCACAUGCACGACCGUUGCGGGGGUUGUUUGCAGGGGGAUCGGCCAGUCUGGAAUCCCAUUCUUGAGGCUGGCCGUGGCUGGCAGGCAGCCUCCGAUGCCUUUUGCCUUGCCAUCAUCGAUCUGGACGCACAAAUGUUCCAGAAUGCAGAUCAUAAUUCUUUAGACGUGCCGCCGAAUCCGAUUCAUUCCAGCCGUAUGAUCACAACUUUAAUUGUUGUUCCGAGGUGCAAAUCUGUUGCGCUGCCGCCAGAGUUUGUCCUCUAUAUGCUUCGCAGCCAUGAACUAACAUCUCUAAUCGAAUUUUUUUUGAUAAUGGAUAAACAUCCGGACUCUUGGAGAUAUCCGGCCUCUAUCUCCAAUCGUAAAUACUUGUGCAAAUAAAUGACGUUGAGACAUCAAGUUUUUGCCUGCAUACAGUUCAAUCCUCCAAUUCAAAACGUCAUAUAUUUCCGACCGGAGGGAGUAGUUGCAAGUUAAAUUUUAGGGCUGCAAGUACAAAAUGGAAUAUCAGAAAACAUUCUGAAAAGUGAAAAUACUACAUAAAUGACAAUCUGAAUAGGAAUGGGGAAGUAAGGAAGAGAGACCCUUCCAUCCUGAACAGAGUACGGUCCUGUAUCCCGGUGAAACUCCGAUACGAUCUUGCUUGCACUUGUGGCUGGCACUUGCUCUCAUUGUUUCCUACUGAAUUCCAUGGAUCCAGAAAUGUUCCAGAGCCGUGAGCACUCCAUUUGUCGCGACCUCCGGCGGCAAGCAACCGUCUGAAACACGAAUCUGUCCACUUGACCGGUCGCGUACAAACUGCAGUCAUCUGGGAAAUGGACGGCCCAACAAACAAAUGCUGAUACGCUCCCUCCCAUACCAAUGAUUCAGUGGAAGUACAUUUGACAUAUACGUUUCAAAAAAAAACAUUUGACAUAGCAGAUAGAAAAAAGAUAAAUGUCAGUAAUAACAUGCAACAAGACAACAGGUGUUGGCAACUUAAGUCAUCGAACGUGCGCGAUCCCCGACAAAUGGAACCACGCAGGGAAAGAUGCUCAGAUGCUAGAACAAUUUCAGAGUCUGAGGCAUUGACCAGUCGCAUGCAUCAUACGGUAUCCAUCCAAAUUGUAGAUCAUUUUGGUAUUUCUAACUUUAUAGGUUUUACUGUCUAUAUAGAUAUAUAGAUAUAGACUUUGUGCACGCUGCAAAACUAAAGGGAUUGGCGGUCCACGACCAAGAAACGGCCCACGAGGUUCUGGCCAUCUGACUGACUGAGCUGCUGCUAUAUUGGGCUUCCUAGGUUAUGUACGAGACUACGAGGUACUUGCCAUGUGAAAAGUCUGUUGCUGAAGCCCGCUGGGUACCCUUUCAAUAGUUUUCAAAAAAAAAAAUCCCUUUGCUUAGCAAGCUCCUCUUUUUUUUUUUUCCUUUUUUCCCCUUUGAAUUGAAGUCCUUUACUGGUAACGUGAGACCAAGUCAGCACUGGUCGCGUGAUAAUGUUUUUGUUUUUAUAUUUUUUGUUUUACGAUUUUGCAGAAAUAAAUAGUCGAACGAAAAAUUUGCAGACCUACACCGCAGUACGAAACGGCAGUAGGUCCACUUCCACCGGUUGGAUUGGCGGUAGGAGGCCCGCAACGCUACACAUGCGUUUCUCACCGUACAAAAUGGCGGUAGCAUGCUUUAGCCGUUUCGUACGGUGGUAGUUAGCCUUCCACCGUUUCAAGUGGCGGCAGGCUCCCCCUGCUUGGUUUAGCUAGGUUUAGCCGAUAUUAGCAGGUUGCAGGAUGCUAUAGCUGGUUCAAACGGCUAUAGCGGAGUUAUAGCCGUUUGAACCGGUUAUAACUCUGUUUUAAUUUUGAUAAGUUAUUUUUCAUGUAAUUUUGUAUGAUAUUUUUAGAAGUGAAAUAUGUAGUUACAUUGCAAUAUAUAACUUCGUAAUUUGAGAGAAGUAGAGUGAUUGAACGAAAUAAUUGAAAAUGAUUUAACUCCCGACCAUUAGAUACAUAGCUGUUUCCAGCGACAUUACAAUGGAUCCAAAUGAAAUUUCUAAACUAAGUGGCAUGUUGCUAAAUCUAGCAUGCCUUAGGUAAUUAAAAUAGCUAGGGAAAAAGCUAUGUCUACUUCCUAUUAGAAAUGGCUCUACGAGGACUGCGACGGCCAAGCUCCAUAGUAGCCAGCAACCCCAGAGGAUGGCGGAGACGAGGGACGAUCCUUGUUGUGGUGGUAGGUGCACUUGCACCAUGGAUCGGUGCAAAUCAAGUCACCUACGAUAUCAAUCGCCCAAGAAUUCGCGUCAACUUCGGACUGAAGAUCCUCGACCUUACUCUCCAGGUCAAAGAUCUUGCACUUCACGUAGUGUAUGUACUGCUUAGUUGGCUUAGGAAGUGGUGGAUCAACCCACUUGGUGUAGCGGCAGUUUCCUUCAUCAAGAUAGGUCUGAACGUGAUGUUAGUUUGAAACACGAGAAGCUUAGAAAGAGCAAUGAAGUAAUAACUUUACUCACCAACCCAUAAAGCUGGAUGACACAAACCACACCAUGGUGACACAUUGGCCACGCAUCCUGGCGGUCAUCAUGAAGCCUAAGGGAGUUUGGAGGGGCGUAGUUAGCCCUGUCCACCAGAGGGAACUCAUCGAGGGGUGCCUCAUACUCCGUUGGGCCAAAAGAACCUGGCCAAGUGAUGGUUGGAAUAGGAGCACCCCCUCCUCUUCCCCUCCUCCCACGACCUCUCCCUCUUGCGGAUGCCCUAGUUCUUACUCGUGCUCAGUGGCGUGGAAGGAUAUGGGAGUCUUACUUGUGCUCAGUGGCGUGGAAGGAUUUGGGAGAGGAGGGUUCAAUAUAAGGAGUGCUGAGAUGAAGACGCGUUGCGCUCCCAUGUGCUCAGUACGUCAUCGUGUUCAAUCAUCCUGAGAAAUGGUACAUAUAGCCUUUGCAGGUGCAGGAACGUAGGUGUAAGUGGAGUCCCAUCCACCUGAGAAGGUAUCAUGUUCAGGGUCCUUGCAGUCUAUAGUGUAGCCUUUUCAGUGAGGUUCACGUCAACAGUAUAUAGUGUAGGUUUUUCAGUGAGGGUUCACGUCAACAGUGUGUAGUGUAUGCUUUUCAAUGAGGGUUGACAUCAAUAGUGGAAACCACUAUUUGAGUAUUGUACUUGCUGCAGAGUAGUGUAAUUGGAAUAGUGUGGAAUCUCAGUACUCGAUGAAAGGAGAUGAAAUGUUAUAACAGUAUAAGCAACAGUACAAUGGCAUCCGAGUCGCCCAACAUGACAAAUCUAAAAGAGCACCAGCCUACAUAAGAUAAAGGAGAUCCUAUGCACUAAAUGUGUCCUCGCUUGAAAUGAGGCUCACCGCGACCAUAACCACGCCUCGCUACCCGCUGCGCUGCUCUGGUCUGGUACUGGUCGUACGUGAAGGACUCCGGAGGGGCAACAUCGCGAGGCGGACGUCCUGGUGCGGCCGCAGGUGGUGUCGUGAAGUCCUGGGUGGCGCCCUGUGUAGUACGCACGGGGGCAUCCCCUAACUGCAAAGGACCAAGCUCGUCAGGGUCGGAUCUGAAAAGAUCGUCCACCCAUGUUGAGCUCGACCUCUGUCCCUCCUCCUCGACGGAGUACUCCGAAGCUCCUCCGCAGUCUGUGAACCCUGUUAUGGAACUAAGAAAAUGUUAUUGUAAGUUUUUUUUCGUAUUUAAAGUGGAAUAGAAAGCAUGCAUUCACGACGCACCGAGGUGUUGUAGCUCUGUACUCGGAGGAGCUGUAGAUGGCGCCGCUCCACUGUAAGCUUGGUAUAUCUGCGGGGCUAUGUUACGAAAUUAUAAGUUAGUACAAGAAAUUGGACAACAUUUUGUCAAUGGAAAAUGAGAAAGUAACGAACACGUACCUGUCGAGAUCACGUACUACGGAACAGUCGACGUGCCGGGAGGGCAUACCAACACGGUGCUGGUGGGACAGUCGACGGCGGACGAAUGGGUGGUUGAGAAGACGUACCGGGCUCGUGAGUAGGAGUUGGAGAGGACGAAUGGGGGUAGGCAGCCUGUGCCUUUAUACCUUCCAGUUAGAAAUGUGCCAUCAAUACAAAUGACUGGGCGACAUCGCUGAAAAGCCUCAAUGCAAGGAACCAAGGCAAGGAAUGACCGUUGCAGGACCUGUUUGCCUGGAAACUGAGCACAUGGAUAGGAUUUUAGGUCGCAGUAGCUUCCUGGGUUCUCUAGCAUAUGGUGUGAAACAGGAGAGAGAGGUUGUCAUACGAUGCUUCGUACGUACCCCACUUCAUCUCCAGCGCCUUCUGCUUGGCUUAGUAGGCUUUGUUGUAACUAAUCUUGUACUUGAACUUCUCCUUUAUGGCACAAACAAUCCACUUGGGCUCAAAGUUGGGAUGCUCCACUAUGUGAGAAUACAUGUAUUGAGUAACAAAAUCAGCAGUGAGAUUGCGAUGUGUUCCUUCCAAUUCAUCCAGCAAGCAUUGGUGCUCAACCACUCUAGUCACCUCCUUAUAUGCGUGCACUCUAAAUGGGCAAUUGCUUCUCACAUAGCACACAUUAUACACCGUCGGGUUGCUCUUCACCACUCUGAACUGACGUUGCAAAGAUAAAGUGGAUCAUCGCUUCACAGCUGCCUUCACCUCAUCCCCACUGGGGUACAUAGCACCCACGCAAACUUCAUUCUCCCUAUACUCUCAAGGGAUAUUUUUCCCUAUAUUGACCAGUAGGGCGGAAUGGUCAUAAGCUGACCAGUUCUGCGGGACAGGGUAAGCAUCUUCCUCAUUCAACGAGUCAUCAUCCAUAGCACCAUUGGCCUUUUCUUCUUCCCUCUCCACCUACUCAACUAACUCAAGCAUGUCUUCCCCCUCAUCAGCCUUCCUAUUUGGCUCACGGGUUGCAACAUCAUCCUCUGCAUCUCCCUCUUCUACCCCAUCUUCAUGAACUUCUUCAUUUUGCCCAUCAGUACUCUCCACACCUUUCUCGACUUCAACUUUAGCACCUCCCACAUCUUCUUCCAUCUGACUGCUAGACCCAGCCUUCGUGAACACUUGAACAUACCAUAUGAGUGGUAAACCGUGCUUCGUGCAACUUUUUACAUAAGUCCGGUAGUUCUAGGUUCCUUCAAGUGGGAUCAGCUCCUAAAAGUUUAUGUCAGGUCGUCUCCUCACUACAGCCUUAACGGACACAUCCACUUGAUCUCUAUCAAGACCGAAAUCCUUACAAAACCACCUGCAUAUGCCUCCCAAGUCCUCUCUCUUGCUCUUGGUAAAUGCUUGCAGAAAGACUAAAAUCCACUCAAAUCUAUCUCUUCUGGGUCAUAUCUAACCUCCCCCGGACCAUAGAACACUUGGAAAUAUGAACUUUCCGACAUGCCUGCCAAUACACAUGACACAAACAGUGCAAGUUAUUCUCAAUAACUAAAAUCAGUUAACUCGAACGAUACCUACAUUUCAAUAUACGGUCCAACCUAAACCUAACGAACUAAUUCAUUUUAUUUUACCAAGUCAAUAUACAUAAUACUAUCAUAGGUACAAAAUAUUACUACAUUAAUGUAGCCCUAAAGCAGGUCAAUAUACGCGAUAAGAACAAAAGUUCUAACUAAAUCUAAUAAUUCCAACUACCCCUGAAACAACUACAUCUUGAAUACCUAUACAUAAUAUAACCCUGGCAUUGCAAAUAAUAUUCAUCUAAAAUUAAUCUACAUAAAUCAACAAAGUAAUUUUACUGUCAUCUAAAUAUCUAAGCUAAAUCCACUAACCUGACUUAGCUACGUUUUCCUAUGUCCACUAUCAACUAAAUAUCUAAGCUAAAUUCACUGUCAUCUAAAUAUCUAAACUAAAUCCACUAACCUGACUUAGCUAUGUUUUCCUAUGUCCACUAUCAACUAAAUAUCUAAGCUAAAUUCACUAAUCUGACUUAGCUACAUUUUCCAAUAUCUAAAAUGCACUAGACUAACUAACCUACAUUUUUCUAUGUCUCCUAUGUCUCGUAUCCACUAAACUAACUAUUAGAUCUAUCCACUGUACUAACUAAACUAACUAAACUAAGGAAUUACAAAAAAUAUCUCUAAUGAAACGACCAGCGGACCUUCAAUCUCCACUGCCUCCCCUCCUCCCUCCCUCCUUUUUCUUUCUUUCCUUCCCUUCUCCUCCCUCCCUUCCUUCCUUCCUUCCUUCUCCUCUCCCUCCCUCCCCUCCCUUCCUCUUCUCUCUGGCUCUCGAUCUGUCUCUGACAGCGAGCACAAAAGAAAGAGGCAAGCACCCUGAGCAGGCACGCGCGCUUUUAUAACGGCUGGUCCUGCCAGCUCAUUUGGAGGAAGGGCCUCACUUCUGCCGUUUGAAAUGACGGCCCGCCAGUUCUGCCAACUGAAGCGGCGAAAGAGUCUUGAAACCCCACGCCAUGUCAUCUCGUGGGCGGCCCGCCGGACGAGGGGGGCGGUAAGCUGCAUGCGGGAUCUUACCACCAUUUCACCUGGCAGUAGGUCCCUCUACCGCUGUUUCAACCGGCGAUGCUCCUUUACCACCGCAAAUUUUUCAUUCGACUGUUUAUUUCUGCUAAAAAAAUAAAAAAAUAAAAAAAUUCGGUGGCCUGACAUGAUUGGGCCCUCCCAAUAUGCCCACCAAACACAAACUGGUUGUGGCCCGGCCCGGCUUGCGUUCCUUAACGGGUAGCUAUCCCGUCUUCCCCAGCGCUGGCGAUCUCCACUGCAGCCGCCUUCCGUUUCCACCGCUCCGCCUCCGCCCUCCACGAUUUGCGCCACUCUUUCCCAAUACCGGCGGCGACCGGCUUAACUACGGACAUCGCUGCGGGACCCCAUCUGGGCGCGUCCGCCGCCAUGGGUGGAAGCGCCUGGGUGGUUCGGUUGGCUUCCUUUCUUGCUCUUGGUUUGGUGCUCGACUCCGUCGAGGCCAGCCGCGGGGAUAUUGAUCCGCGGUACAGGUGAGACGCAUCUUUCUGUGGAUCAUGAAUUUUGACUUCUCCAGCAGCGUCCAUUAUUCUUGCGUGAAUUAUUUUCUGCGGGUAAGUCGUCAAGCAGACAUUGACUAGUCUGUGGGAUUUCAGUAGUUCUUGUGCAGACAAAAUGUGUUCAUGGUUGGACUCUUGUUGAUCAUUAAUCCUAGUAGUUAGCAGCUACCAUAAAUCUUGGACAGGACAUAUCACUGCUUGUCCGCUCAUCCUUUAAGAUGCGUUGCUGUUUGAAUCGUGGUCGAUGGCUAAUCCCAUGUAGUAGCUAGUUGGCUACAUAAGAAACAUAUUCCAAAUUGAAAGGCCUCCUCCAAAAUGGAUCAAAUCUCCUAAAGUAAAAAAAAAAUAUAUCAAUCUCUGUAGUAAGUCACCAACUCAUCAUUUAGUUAAGUAACUCACUUUCUAAUUUCUAUGACAAGUGGAAGGCGUGUCAUCCUAUGACAAGAGAUGUGAAGCAAUACUAAAUUAAUUUUACUAGAACAGGGCUUAUUGCCUGGUAUUGUAACAGCAUGUGGGUCCUAGCAAACCGUAAAACACUUCUUGGGGAACUAGAAACUUGCGCUCAAUGAUUUCUUGUUUGGAGUUGGUGGAAUGUUAUGAAUUAGGUGCGCUUAGCUGGUUAUGCACAUCGAAUUUACUUUAUUAUGGCAACCCUUUUAUUUGUUCCUUGUCUAAUAUAUUGGAUUUGCAAUUCCUAUCGUACUCUAUGAUUUAUAUGAGAAAAUCACUUGAGUGGUGUGAUGUGAAUACCUGGUCUUUCGCAAACUGUGAGUGGCAAAGUGUUCUUGUAGCCCGUAGCUGAAGUCGAAAGUGGUAGUAUGGCUUUACUGCUCUAGAAUCUAGAGGGACCGAGGGGGUAAUUUUCACAUUUAUACUGUCGACAGAUUAUAACAGUUUUCAUCCUUUUGAUGUCUUCAGAGGUACAUAUAUAGAUAGUAUUAAGCAUUUUGGUACCUUUGGAACCGUUCAGAAAAGUCAACGAUUGUCUAGCCCUUUGAAUUGGAUUAAAAUCAGAGUAAAUCCCUGUAGGUUAUACUCAAUAAGUCAAUGACUCAAUGUUAUUGAUAGUGACUGUUAGUCGGGAUUCGGGGAAAAAAUUGUCCCUGCCACCCUGGUACUUUAAGGAGCACGCCAAGAGACUUUGAGUCAUUUUGUACCCAUGCAGGUACAUAUAAAUAUUAAAUACCCAAUGCUCUCCUAGGGAGAGAGGUCAUAAACUCCUUGUUAACCACCAUAUACUCAUUUGUCAUUUCUUGCUAAUUCAAAACCUUCAGCCUUCAGCACGUCUGGUCUAUUUGUCCCAGGGGGUUAACCAGUCCAGCCAUUUGCAGUUAUGGCUUACACUAAUGUUCCCAUUUGCUUGGUUGUGAUUUUGUAGAAUAGUCAACUUAUUGUAGAUCCUGGCUUGCACCAAUUACUCUUGAUCUGUGCUAGUCUGUGAGAAUGCAGUAAGGUUUGAAUAGAUUGAAUUGGACCUUAUGAGUUGUAUGUUGUGUUGGUAACUGCACUAGCUUAUGUGUGGGCCUGUUUGGUUGGAGGUUUGAGCAUUGUGCCUGAGAAAGUGCUGCCAGAAUGCCAGAAAUUUUUUAUGUAUUUUUCCUGGCCAGACUAAAGUGUCACCAUUCAUAUGUAUCCAGUUCCCGAUUGAGAAGUAAUAAAAGAAAAGAUAAAGAAGCAUCCACAAGGUGGGGUGUGAUAUGCAAUUACUGAAAUGUGAGUAAUUGAUGUGAGAGGUUUGCUUGAGUGUUGAGUCAGGUGACCACCUUUGUACACCUAAGCAACAAAAUAUGUUACAGACACCAAACAUAGUACAGGCAGCCACCAGGAGGCCAAAAUAUUGUCUGUGUUAGAUGACUAAAAGAAAGCUCUGUAAAGCUGGCUUUGAAGUUCAAUCCAUGCAUUUGCUGAACCAAAUCAUAGUUACAGGCUUACAGCAGCCUAGCUAGGCUAUUUGCCAAAGUUCAGUCAAUGAUGUGUGCUGUAAUCUCCAAAUUUCUUAGAUAGAUGCAUGUGAGAUAUGCUUAAAGGUACUAGAACCCCUUUUUCCUUUUAUGGUGAUAUUCUGUCUUUGCAGUAUAUAUUUCUUGUAGGCUCUUUUCAUUUUGCAUACGUUAUUACCAAUAUCGCUCUUGGGCCUUUGAAAGUGAUUUUUUGUAAUAUUGCACAUCAUUUGAUUUCAUGAAACAUUAUCUGUCCAUCCUAGUUGCGUGCUAACAUACUACCAUUUACUGCGAGUGUGAUGAAUUGCUUCCACUUACUACCAUUGUUUAUGGAAAUCUUUAUUCUGCUGAUGAACAUUCAGAACCUGCGUGAGGGAGUGUCAAACUACAGGGAUCAUUGGGGAGAAUAUCAUCAGCCACUGCCAGUCCAAAGAGAACAACACAUCUGUUGGUGGUUCUUGGUACAACCAGGAACAAAUUUACAUGCAGUGGAAACAACUGAAUUGUAGGACAGAUUGUCGAUAUCUCUGCAUGAUGCAGAGAGAAGGGGAACGGCAAUCACUUGGUCUGAGUCCUGUUAAAUAUCAUGGAAAGUGGCCGUUCUUACGUGUUUCUGUGUUCCAGGUAUGUCUUGUGCUGACGUGAUCCUGAUUCCUGAGUGAAACAACUUUUUCAUUUAGUUCUUGAUGACAUCUCAACUAAAUCUGAUGCCAUCAGGAACCUCUUUCAGCUGCACUAUCUGCAAUCAACCUAUUUAUGCACUUCACUGGCUGGAUUUCAUUUUUUCUUCUAGUGAAUUACAAAUUGCCUAUUAGACCCCAGACCAAGAGAACUUGCUAUGAAUAUACUAGCUUAUGGCAUAUCUAUGCAAUCUUAACAAUGAAUGCAUGGUUCUGGAGCUCUAUAUUCCAUAGUAGGUAUGAAGUUGCCCAGAGCCUUCAAUAUAUAUUUUCUGAAACUUAGAGAUACAUGUACUACUAUAAUCUGUGGCAUCUAAUUUCAACAUCUUUUUUUCUGCAAGAGAUAUUGACUUGUCUGAGAAAUUGGACUACUCUGCAGCUGUCGCCCUGCUUGGGUACUCUUUAAUCCUUUCAUUGCUAAGGACUUUCAGUGUCAAAGAUUAGGCUAGCAGGGUGAUGUUUGCAGCACCUAUUUUGGCAUUCGUUACAACACAUAUAUUGUAUCUUAACUUCUAUGAGCUUGACUAUGGUAAAGUUGCUUUCAUUUGUUGCUAAACAUUUGUCAUCCCAUACAAAGAUCAAUCUCACUUUUAUAUCAAUUGCUUCUUUUUAAAUUUUAAUAGAUUUAGCAAUCUGCGUUGCCUAGUUUACCAAGUCUUUUGUAUUACAACAACCAUAUAUGCCACCUUUGUUUACAGAUGUAUAUUUCUUAAUAAAAUCCAUCACAAGAUGUUGUGAAUAGUAAUGAUUUUCUUCAGUUCUGCUUCACACAAAGUGGUUGCAUCUAUCUGAUGAUUUUUUUUAUCAGGAUGGAACAUGAAAGUUUGUGUGGUGAUGGCUGUGGUUCAACUUCUGACGUGGGCAAUUUGGGCUGGUGUAACCCGACAUCCAUCACGACUCAAGCUUUGGAUGGUUAUUUUUGGAGGAGCACUGGCGGUGCUUCUUGAACUCUACGACUUCCCUCCGUACAUGGGCUAUGCGGAUGCCCACUCACUGUGGCAUGCGAGCACCAUUCCACUCACAUAUCUCUGGUGGAGCUUCAUUAAGGAUGAUGCCAAAUUCCGGACCUCAACUCUCAUGAAGAAGGCAAAGUAAGCAAAAUGACCACAGAUUUCAUUGUCCACUCAAGAAACAUUGGGACACUUGUGCUAUCAGACAUAACAAAACUUCCAUAUAUUCAGCCCCUUGAUGCUCCUGUUGUCAAUACGAAAAGACAUCUCCAUGCACUCAUGAUUUUGGUCCACAAACUCAGCAUCUUUCGGGGGCAUAUUCUGCCCUUAUGAUCUAUCAGUUGAUUGACUGAAUGAAAUUUCUGUGGUUGAAUUGGCAUCAUUUCUUUUUAGAUCUCGGCGCUUGUAAGCUUCUUUUGUCAUUGCCAAUUCAGUUUUGUAAAAUCAGGCUGAACAUCGUUGGUGUGUCUCCUAUGGUGUGCAACCUUUGUAAGAUCCUGAAGCCCUCUUCACACAAAUACAAACUUAUGGUCAUCAUGAAUUCCAACGUUUCGAAGAUUAUAUUUACAUGUGCGAGGUUUGAAACAUAAGGGUACAGUGGCUGGCAUAUAAGGCGAGCCUGGGUGACAUCUUAAGCCAACAUUCACGUAGAAGCACCAUGUAAACUCCUAGUGGAUUCUGUCGGUUUCAGUUGGAUCUUGCAAAAGGGAAUGGGGACGUCCUGCCAUGCCCACUAGGAGCCUGUCUGGUCGGGGGCACGAAUGGGGAGAUAGUGGCUGGAAAGUUUCGCACUCUUGGAACUUUGGAUGGUGGUGUGUGAUUUAUGUCACUGAGGACUCAGUAUUUGAGCAGUUUCCUGGAGGAUCAUGCAAAAUUCUCUCAAAGUUCCGUGUGAAGUAAAAAUCGGAUCCACUACACUUCAUUGGUGAAAGAUGAUAACUUCAGGGAUAUAUAAUAACGAUUAAGAAGUGUAACCACACAUUUUUUUUUCCUUCGAAGUGGUUGGUUACCUGAUGAAGUUCAAUUUGCGUUGUGCUGUCGCAGGUGUGUUUAGUGCUAAUCGCAUUUAUCAAAAAAAAUGCUUAGUGUCCCUGUCAGCAGACAUCACUAUUUUGAUGAAAGCCAACUCCGAUCAUUCUGGCACUCAGAAGAACAACCCUUUGCAGUGGCCUGUGUUUAAUUUGUCUUUUUCUCAAGCAAUAAACAACUCUAAACUGCAAACCUGAAGGAAGAUAAAUUGUUCGAAGAGACCCCAUACGUCACGUAUUCUUCGUCAAGUAAGCAGUAACCAAUUUGGCAUAAAAACUCGUUAGCCGUAUGUAGAUAUUUUGCUACCAUGAAUUUCAUAUCGAUAUUGUAAGAAUGUCAACAGCUGGUUACCACAAUUAUGUACUAAGACUUUGGAAGGUCAAAAUGCAGCGAUCAGCUGGGGGACAAGCCUGCAAGCUAAUUCCAUCUACAGGCUCUACCGCUCUAGUCCCUUUCGUGUAUGUGCCAGCUCUUGUGUGAUGCUGCUUAAUUUGUGCUGCUUUGCCUAUCUAACCAUCGCAGUUAUCCACAGCUGUUCACAACUGAAGUAUACCAUGAUAUUUUGAUUCGAGUUCUUGCAUCGAAGAAGUGUGUAUUUCUUUUUGAACUGGCAUUAUCUGCAUUUUGUUUUACUUACAAGGGAAAAUACGUCUGCAACUCCAAAAGAGGUUCUAAGAUCAUGCAAAAUUCUCCCUCUUGUCCAGUUGCUCAUGAGUCAAUGACAUGCCAUGCUUCAUACAAUAUUAUUUAUCUUUGUAACCACUUGCAUCAGAUGUAAAAAUGCUUUUUAAACACGGACACAGUCUCAUGAAUCAUGAAUGCACGCACACGCGCUCCACCCUACAAGCAUGUCUGAUAGCCGAACCAUCCAUAGGCACGUCAUACCAUAAGAGAAUAGAGCUAAACCAUACUUUUUUUUAAUUACUAGUUUCCAGUUAAGUGCAGAUACCAGCAUAUAACCUAUGGAUUGGUAUUGAUCAAGUGUUAAGUGUUGAUACAUAUUUUGUAUGACCAGAACAAAGUAUAUCUAACAUGAAAGACCAACAGAAUAAAUUUUAUUUUGUUUUCAUCCACUUUACGAAAUAUUUAGUACUCAAUCUGGUCACUUUUAAUUGACAUUUCAGACAAGCAAUGAAACUACAUACGAGACAAGAGAAUGAAACUACUACAAGACAAAAUUGAUGGAGUUAGUACCUUCGCCUGAAAAAUAUUCUGCCGUGUAGCCAUCUCUAAUGAGCUGUAAUAAGUCCAAGAAUACUAUAUGUUACAAGUAAGAUCUAGAUGCUAUCUGCCACUUUGUUUAUUUGACAUGCAUGCUUCUCACUGAAAACUUAUUUGGCACGAUAAGCUCCGUAUACAACAUGCUAAUUGUAUUUAUAUGUAGCAGUCUAGCUAAUCGUUUCAACAAAAAAAAAACUUUAUUGGAAUCUGGAAGCAUGUAACAUGCUUGCAGGGUUUAGAUCAUCUCAUAUUUUUUUUGAAGCCAUAGUCAGGCUUUCUUUCAACAGUGUGGGAGAGGUAAGGUCUUUUUUGAGUGAAAAAUUAAAACGUGGAGAAAAGGUAGUUCGUAUAGUGAUCUUGAUAGUCAUCUUCUUUCAUGAAUCUUGCUCAAGCCGGCAUAUUGCAAAGAAAUAAACAUGUGUCAUCUGAAUCUGUGAACAAAUGUGCAUAUAUUCAACCCAUUUAAUCAAGCAAAACAAAAAUAGUCCGCAUGCUUCCAUUAUUAACAAAGGGAUCAAUUGGAAAAGCUCGCAUAGUAUAACCGUGCAUACUCAUAGGCUAAUAAUCCGUAAAGGAUCUUUGUUAGAAAAAGAUCAGUUGUACCUUCGCCACUAAGGAAUAGCUUAUCGUACUUCAAUUUGGCAUUACUUUUAGAGCUCUUGCUUGUAUUACUUACCAGUCUCCUGCUACUAGUGGAAGUCCAGGAUGAACUGGGACAACUCAACUCUUCUUUUCCCACUGUGGUUCCUGUUUAAAUCUGAAAUCGAUAUACUAGUGCACAUGCAUGUUGGAUGAUGGAAUUACUUCAAGAACCAAGUGUUGAUUUACGGUAUUUUCUCUAAAUUAAUUAGCUAAAAAUGGAUAAUGGAUAAAAGGUACCAUGAAUAUAGGGUGCAUUUGGAUGGUAAAAGCUACUUACAUGUUAACUGUAAAAGCCGGACCAAAAGCUAAUCUUUUGGAUCAACUAAAUAAAGCUUUCAAAAGCCAGAUCCCGCAAUCUUUUUUUUUUCUUGGCGAAAACAGAUCCCACAAUCUAGCUGGAUUCAAAAUCCACGAUAAUGCAUACGGAAAGCCCUUUCCCUUCCCCAAUCUCGACGAGAAAUUACAGGAAGUGCGUCCAGACAAAACGGAGGAGGAGGUACAGUAAUCGGUUCCAAUAUAGUAAACCUGAAUGAUUACUCUAACCCGUUUGUUUCCGUACGUACGUCCGUACCGUUUCAUCAGUCCCGCGUGGCAGAAUCCGCUCAUAAUUUGGAUUAGAUUAGAGGGGCAACCGAGCUGAUCGCCGCGUGGCUUCGCGCCGCCUCUCGUGGAAAUAGCUGUGGAGGAGGAGAGAGAAGCCAAAGAAGGAGCCAGGAAGGAAGCUGGAGGAAGGAACACCUCCAGUUCCAGUUGUGCGCAGAGGCCUCCGAGAGAUCCGUAUAAAUACACGCACACGUCCACCUCCAGGCACGCACCCAUCACUCUCCAAUACUCUACUUCCCAGUGGCCACCACCCCCAAAAGAUCAGCAGCGCCGCCGCCGCCGCGUCACUUCAGUUCAGGCUUGCUGUCCCUAAACUGGAUUCCAGCCAGGUGAGUUCGUCGACCUUGCUGUCCCUCUCUGUGUUCUCUGUCUUUCUUGGUAAUGCCAGUAUCUGCAAUGCCGUCCGCCGUGCGAAUUAAUAAGUAAGAUGCCCAUUUAAUCUCUCAGCAUAAACAUUGUUCGCGAUGUCUAGCUUCCUGGGUCCUUUUUUGCUAUUAAAUUAUAUUUUGCUGCUGCUGCCUUAACUGGGUUCCUCUGCUCCUGCUGUUUGCUACUAGUACUGUUUGCGCCUUGAAACGUAAACUUGAUCACACGACAGAGCGUACUAGUUUGCGCCUUUUGUGGCCGUGUCGUGGUUCAGUUUCAAGUACACGCGCAGCCAGCCUAAGAGGCCACUGGCUAACCAAUAAGUGUUUUCUUUCCAAAAAAUUGGCCACAACUUUUCCUGCAGCAUGCACAAACUUUACAGUACCUUUUUUUUUCUGGAAAGGAAAAAAGGAGAAAAAAAUAUCAACCAUCGCUGCCACGGGAUAUUACAAUUAUUGUCCACUGAGUAAAGCAUCAUGUAAUACCUCCAUUACGUACUAGUGUAAAUAGAGACACGACAGGAACGAAAUGUAGAGGUAGCCAGCACAUGAUGCUCGCAUCUUUCUGCCGUGGAAUAUGGUGAGAGUAGUAAUCCUGUGGUGGCCGCUGGCGCCGAGGAAACAAUCACUUCACAGCGAGAAAAAGGGAAGGAACGGAGGAUAGGAUUCCCUGGACAAUGCCCGGCACCUCCCAGUGGAUAGAUAGAUGAUAGAUAGACAUGCCACAUGCAUGUUGCAAGUACACACCAGUGGAUAGAUUGAUGCUCCAAAAGCAAACAGGUGGGUAAAGUACAUUUUUUUUAGCACAAGUCAGACGCGCACAGGCAAGGCCACGCACACGCAUCCUCAUGGAUCGUAUCUCCAGAUCGAGAGUUGCCAGUAAAAUUCGGACGAUUUGAAGAGGAGGAGGCUGGAGGCUAAACUCUUGUUGAAUUGGUAGCUAGUGGCCGAGGUUGCCGCGACGGCGCGUCAAGGUAGCUGGAGCCUGUGCGAGCUGCGUGACAAAACGGAAAAACCAGGAGCUGCUUGUUGGUACGCGCAUGCAUGCGUUGGCUGCGUCUGGAUGGGCGGACGUGCAUGCAUGGGAUUCCACGUCAGUCGCCUCGCUUGCCGGCCGAUUAUUAUCACCUGACGACCAACGGGCCGCGGCGUGCCAGUGGGCGCAGAUCGGACGACGACGACGACGACCCCCCCCCCCCCCCCCCCCCCCCCCACGCCGAACAAAAUCUCCGGCGAUCCUUGCUGCGUGCCCCUACCACGUGGCCCUGCGCCGUCUCUCCGUUUGGUCACCUAGCUGUUUUCCUUGCACUUUCGUUCCCCCACCGUGUCCGGUUUUGGUUUCCUUCCAAGCAAGUAGUAAGAUGACACGAAUUCACGAUGAUUCCGACUUGUUGAACCGUCAGAUCCGAGAUCCAGAUCAUCACACGGGUUACACGCUCGUGACCAGACGGAAACCACCGUGGGUACAGUACUACACAGUGCACGGACGGACGGGACGCGUGGUUUCACCCGCGGGCCGUGCCUGAGCCAGCGUAGGAACAGUUGUGAAGGAGGCGAUCGAGAAGCCGUGUGCAGGUCAUCGGGUGGCCAGGCAGGCAGCGUAUGCAAUGCAAGGCAGCCAUGUUUAGCGUCCCAAUCCAGCGAAGCAACACGCACGCGCGACAUUAUUAGUUCAUCAGCGUGGGGGGCGCCGUGCCCGUGGCUCGAGCUCCAGCUGCUCCUCCCGGCCCGGCGGCGAGCCCCCCUGCAGGCAAAGCCAUCGCGUGCCGGCUGCCGCCGUCGACGCAUGCAUCUCCAUUCCGAUCCGGUCCUCCCAGGUUAGCAUCCGCCUCCGUUCCGCUGGAUUGCUUGUCAAUUACUUGAAUACUUGUUAUCCCCUUCGCCUCGACGCCGGGCGAUUAGUAGUUAAUUAAUCGGUCCUAAUCGCGGCGGCCGUACGCCGUGGAGAAGACACGGUUUGCUUUAUUUUACUCUCGGCGUACUAGUAGCUAGCUGGCCGGGUAGCACGCCGCCGCCGCCGCGGCGCGCGCGCGCGUCCGACCGCGACGCGCCGAACGCGCGCGAGCGUGUGAUUGGAACUCCGCUGGACCGUGGCGCGGAUUACGGCGUGGAUUACGUGCCGUCGUCUACGUUGAUUGCCGAAGCGCGCAGACGACAACCUUACUGCUCCAGCUAAUCAGCAUCCUGCGUGAGGCCAGCUAAACCAUCCAUGGCAUGGACCGCUCGGUCAGCAGGUCGGUCGAUUCUGAUUUUGACCUCGUUUGUUUUAAAAUGCUUUGCACAAGAGAGACAUUCUGUGGCUGGCCGACCGAUCCAGACAUCAGUUCCGUACAUCACCAGUUGCGACCUGCUCCGCUCGAACCGGUCGCGGCGGCGAGACUUGAUCCGGCGACAGCGACGGCGAGCUCCUUCAUUUGCUUGUCCUACUACUGUAGUACUAGCAUGCGUCCGCCCGUCCGGGGCCGACGAUGAAGCCUUUUCCAUGCUCGGUCGGUCGCGUCCUAGGCGAUGGCGACUGCCUGCUGGCCCGCCGCGCCGCAUGCCGCCUCCUCUCCGAUUUGAAGUUUCCAUGCACACCUGGUGCGCUCCCGCACCGUACACAGCCCUCUAUGGCCUGUCGUCCACACUUGGUCCUCGCCGGUGGGUCCCCGGCCGGCCCGGGAGCGGCGCCACUGCCACCUACACCUCCGAUGCCAAGCUAGAGGCGUACAGUGCCAGAUUUUAGCAUAUUUUCCAGCCAUACGCCGCCACGAGUUUUCCCAUUCCGCCAAGAGCCUCGCUCAUGAGUUGGAAUCAUGGCACUUGGAUCGGCCAUUGGACGCGAGCCGUCACCGGCCAUCUUAGCACUUGACCACUGCUUAUACAUAUGCAAAACACAAGAGAGUAUAGCACUCCAUGGUGUGGUGUUUUUGUCCUUUGCUACCUCAACGGUGUGACAUCCACAGACGAAUUUAGGGUGGCCCUGCAGCCUAAACAAGAAAAAAGAUGCUAUAUUGGUGUCAUUUUUAGCUUGUGUGUAAGAGAAUUUGAGGUGCAUGCGCCUUAAUCUGAUUAUACGUGGUUGGCCACCCAUGCAUACACAACCAAGUGAGAACGACUCCUGUCGAUCUAUCGCAAUAAAGGAUUAAAGGGGAUCCUUCUCAUUAAGAUUUUGAUUAACUGCUGCCUUUUGCUAUCACACAGUUGAACCGUACCUAUGAUUAUUGUAAAAUUGAUCGGAGGCCCAUCUAAAUCGUAGUACACGACUGCAAGCAAACUGGACCUGGAACGAGUAGUGCAUCACCUAGCUAGCUGAUCUCCUGCCGAUAUUUUCGUGUCACGCCCGCGGCAUUCCGUCACCUCGUUAGUUUCUGUCCGAAUACCAGGGAAAGGUUGGUUACGACUUCCUCUUAUAUAACGCUCGAUCAGGCCAUCGAUUACAGGUGUAGCACAAGUGUACCGUCACGCAACAGAGGCAACGGACGCCUUGGUUUCCUGUUGCACGUUUCCACAACUGGCAUCUUGUGCUGACACGCACAUUUGUUGCAACCGUCCCAGUUCAGCCAACAGGCUCAGCUUCUGUUGCUAGUGCCAUUGCCACCGAUGCAACCAUUCAGCAGCUACUGCCUACUGGCCAUCAUCAUCAUCACCAGCGCCUCUGGACGCCUGGCCAUUUUUAAAGGCUCCAAACCCGUUGCCUGCACAUGCUCCGGUCUCCCUACCUCCUCUCCUCUGCUCGCUUUCUUUUCUUCAUCGGAAAUGUUCUGCUGCUGAGCUUGAGAUCGAUCAAACCAAUUGGGAUUUGUCCUAGCGCCCUGCCAAAUCCAUUCAUCAUCCAGCUGGGGGCGUCGACACUUGUAAGUUCACAGAUGGUUCCUCUGUUGUUCAUCUUUUCUUUGCUCCUCCCAACAGUUCGGUGACGACUUUUUUUUUCCCCUCCUGUUGAGUUCUCAUUGUUUGUCUUCUCUUUAAGUACUUGAUUGAGUUUUCAGCUGGUCUCGUCUCCUCACACACACCAGACGUGUGCUGAUUGUGUAUUUCUGUUCUGUGCGCGCCGCGCAGGUCUCAGUCAGGACAGUCAGCUGAGUGAGCCAUGGAGGCGGCCAACGGCACCACCACGCCCCGCGCCGUGCCGCCGCUUCUCGCCGAGGUCGAGGUCUCCAACCUGCCCGGCUUUGACCUCACCCCGACGCCCAGCCCGCGGCCCCAGGAUGCCGCCGCCGCCGCCACCUCCAGCCCGCGCCCGCUGCCCAGCCCCAAGAAGCCGUCCCGCCCCGGGGUGCCGCCGCUGGACCGCGUGCCGCGCCGCAGCGAGGUGGUGUUCCCGCCGCUCGACUCCCCGUUCCAGGCGCCAGGCUACCGCUCCGUGCAGCCGGGCUCCAUCAGCCUCCCCGCGUCGCCCAGCGGCUUCGGCGUCCCCGUGGCCAUCCCCGUGGGGCCGAACGGCGGCGGUGACACGGACGGACUCCGGAGGCAGGCCAUGGCGAACGCCGCGGCGCGCGGCGAGGCGCAGCAGCCGCAGGAAAAGCAGGGAGGUGGGAGCGUCCGGUUCGCGCACCAGCCGGACAAGGUGGUGUUCCGAUCGCAGCCCAUCCCAGGCGGCCAGCCCGCGGGCCCCGGCAGCGCCCGGGCGGGCCGCGCUGGUAGCAGGGGGUCGAUGAGCCGGGACAAGCGCUACGACUCGUUCAAGACCUUCUCCGGGAAGCUGGAGCGGCAGCUGACCCACCUGGCCGGCGCGGCGGAGGUGCGCGAGGAGGGGGAGGACGGCAACGGCGACGACGACGACGACGCCAUCACCGCCAGCCGCAGCACGUCCUUGCCCAAGGUCGACCGCUUCUUCGCGGCGCUGGAGGGCCCCGAGCUCGACAAGCUCAAGUCGUCCGAGGAGCUGGUGCUGCCGUCGGACAAGACGUGGCCGUUCCUGCUCCGGUUCCCGGUGUCGGCGUUCGGUAUCUGCCUGGGGGUAAGCAGCCAGGCGAUCCUGUGGAAGACGAUCGCCACGUCGGCUCCCACCAUGUUCCUCCACGUCGGCACCAAGGUGAACCUGGUGCUCUGGUGCAUAUCCGUGGCACUCAUGUGCGCCACCGCCGCCGUGUACGCGCUCAAGAUCGCCUUCUUCUUCGAGGCCGUCCGGCGCGAGUACUACCACCCGAUCAGGGUGAACUUCUUCUUCGCGCCGUGGAUCGCGUGCCUCUUCCUGGCCAUCGGCGUGCCGCCGUCGGUGGCGACGGAGCUGCCGCGGUGGCUGUGGUACGCGCUCAUGGCGCCGGUGCUGAUCCUGGAACUCAAGAUCUACGGGCAGUGGAUGUCCGGCGGGCAGCGGCGGCUGUCCAAGGUGGCGAACCCGUCCAACCACCUGUCCGUGGUGGGCAAUUUCGUGGGCGCGCUGCUGGGCGCGUCCAUGGGCCUCAAGGAGGGCCCCAUCUUCUUCUUCUCCGUGGGGCUGGCCCACUACAGCGUGCUGUUCGUGACGCUGUACCAGCGGCUCCCCACCAACGAGACGCUGCCCAAGGAGCUCCACCCGGUGUUCUUCCUCUUCGUGGCGGCGCCCAGCGUGGCGUGCAUGGCGUGGGCGAAGAUCACCGGCGAGUUCGGCUACGGGUCACGUGUCGCCUACUUCAUCGCCAUGUUCCUGUACGCGUCGCUGGCGGUGCGGAUCAACUUCUUCCGCGGGUUCAGGUUCUCGCUGGCGUGGUGGGCGUACACGUUCCCGAUGACGGGCGCCGCCAUCGCCUCCAUCCGGUACUCGACGGAGGUGGACAACACCUUCACCAAGGCGCUCUGCGUCGCGCUCUCCGCCAUCGCCAUGCUCACCGUCACGGCGCUCUUCGCCACCACGCUCGUGCAGGCCUUCGUGCUCCGGAACCUCUUCCCCAACGACAUCUCCAUCGCCAUCACCGAGCGCAAGAUGAAGCCCAUCAUGGAGCUGCACGAGGGCCAGGGAGAGGACGGCAGCACCAACAGCAGCAACGACAUCGAGGCCGGCGCCAAGUGAUGGACCCCGCCGGAUCGAGCUGAAUGCACGCCGGAGUCGCCGAGCUUCACGUACGCCGUGCGUGGGGGCAUGACGCGACCGGGUUCUUGGGUAGCUUGGAUCGUUCAUUCCGGGGGGCAGUUCUCGGAUUGCCUGCUUGGCUUAGUGUGGUGUAUAAAAUGGAGGAAGAGCUUUUGAUCGAUCGAUUGCAGCUAUAUUAGUACUCGGUAAAACUACUACAUGUACAGAGUGUAUUGCGUCGUAUGAAAUGGUGGGUGAUUGUCGUGGAAGAUUAUGCAUCCGUGCAAUGUCAUUUUGCUUUAGCAUCCCAAUAUCUCCCUCCCUAAAGCUGAAUUUUUUUUAUGAUGCUGCUGUGGGGGACUCAGCUCAAGGAAACUGAAACCAACGAGGACUGAGGCAAGUACUGGUACUGGGAGUCCUUUGGGCCUUGACUUCAUUGCAGGAGCAGGAAAAAUUGAAUGAUGCUGUCGUGUGGUGGAAAACUGAAGUAAAGAAAGAAAGAAAGAAAGAAACCAAAGAGGAGGACUGAGGCAAGUACUGUGGGCCUCUUGACUGCAUUGCAGGGGCAGGUGAGUGAUGAUCUCUCAUUGACCACACUGCUACAGCCCUACAUGCAGGUACCGUAUUGAUCUCUCCGCUUGUUUGGGCCAGUGUAUUGAUUUUGAAGUUGCUUAAGUGAUCGAUGGAUAGAAGAAAACAACAUGUUAAGAUUCGAGAAAGAUCUCAUGGUUCUAUAGCGAGGACACACCGGAUGUGAAAGAUUUGAGCUCGUGCUGCAACUGCUCGAUUCAACCAGGCCAAGGAUCCAACGGACGAGCUUCGCUGUUGGCGUGGCUCAACGAGCGCACGAUUUUGUCCCGAUUCAGGGUCAGCUUCUCGUAGAUUAAAGGUAGUUUUGGCCCAUUAAAUCACAACCAAACAUAUCAAUCCCAUUGUACUCUGCUCGGGAAAUCCAUUACAACGCUUGAGGAUGUUGACAAGUCCACCGCACGGAUCUCAUGGCGUCUGUGGCGAAGGCUUAUGUGUCUUUCGUUGAGAAUUCGAUAUGCCUUGCUAAUUUCUUAACCAUAUUGGUUUCUUGAUUCUUUGGUGCUUCCUUAUUUAAUUCACUUGUUUAAAAAACCUAGACUCGGUAGCAACAGUCCAUAAUAAACUCAUAUAAACCACGUGAUUUAUGAAGUUGUUGCGAUAAUAUUUUUGUGAGGAGCACUUCCAUUUUUGUGUAACCCAGAGAUAAAACCUCACUGGAGCUAACCCUCCUCGUCCUCGAUUGCAUGGUAUUCGCGUUGUCCUGGCGGGCGGCCAUCCGUAUCCUACUCGGAUUUGCAUGCACGCCCAGACCGUGCGGGUUCAAUCAGCCGAGCGCCUCGCACACAUCUAUGAUCUACCGUGGUAAUAAGCGAUGCCACCACGCAAACGCCGCCGAACAUGCCCGUGCUACGGCUCAUCUGCUGGCGCUUCCGGCGGAUGUCGUGCUCCAGAUCGCCGCGCGCUCCGACGUCGCAGCCGUCGUACGGUGCGCCGCCACCUGCAAGCUCCUCCGGCGGGAGAUCCUCAGCCCGGCCUUCAUCCACAGCGUCUGCCGACCGCCGCCCGACGGCGUCGGCGUCGUGCCGCCCAGGCUCGUGGGCUUCCUCGGCGGCAGCAGGGCCUUCUCCCUCGCCCACCCCAAGACGCCGGCCGCCAAGAACCACCUCGCUCCCUUCGUUCGCCGCAGCGCCGCCGGUCUCCUGAAGGAGUACGAGGUCGUGACGACGCGCGGCGGGCUCGCCGUCCUGGAGCGCCGCGAGAUCAACCUGCGGCGGCGAUCCGAGCGCCGGUCCGACCUGUGCGUGUACGACCCCAUGACCGGCGACCGCGCCGUCUUCCCAUUCCCGCCGGACAUCCGCUGGAACCCCUUCAUCGGCGCCGUCUACACGUACGUCGUGGUCACCGCAGCCGACGGCGCCAUCGGCUGCCCCUUCGUGCUGCUCGCGGCGGACAUGACCAGCCUCCUCGACUUCGGGAGUUCGGUCAGGGUGCAGACCGUGUCGCCGUCGUCGGACGCCGGCGGCGGGCAGUGGGGGCCCCGCAAGCUCGUCAGCCAUCGCGGGACGGGGCGGUGCCUCGCAGACACCUUCAACUCGGCGGUCGUCCUCCGCGGCGUCGUUCACUGGCUCAUGUACAGCGGCGACGACAGCGUGUUCACCUACGACGUCGUCACCGGCGCGCCCGGGACGGUCGGGCUCCCCUGUGGGCUCCGGCGACCCGCGGAUACAUACUUGCUAGAGGCGAAGCUGGGGGCGACGCCGGACGGCAGGCUGACGUUGCUCGUCGCCAACGAGAUGAGCGUCUCGCUCUGGGUGCGGACGGCAGCUGGAAGCUGCUGUUGGCCCGUUUGGGAGCGGCACGCGCUGGUAGACACGGAGGCGCCGAUCAGGUCGGUGUUGGACCCGGGGGGCCGCCAUGGAUUCGAGAUUAGGGGUGAGGUUAAGCUGAUGAACUUCGGGGACCAGAGGAGUGGCGCGGAGUUCUUGCGAGUCAAUGUAGCUAAUGGCCGUUCUGGCGGUUGCGACGUGCUCUUGGUGCUCGACAUGGAGACGAGGGAGAUGCGCAAGGUUAGGUGGAACGGGGGAUUGCUGCACGAGGUGGACCUCGCGUCUCGGCUCUCCGCCAUGAAAACCUUCUAGCUUUCCUUCUGAUUGAGUGAACAUGUUAAUGAUACUCCAGUAAUUGACACUUCAGACGUGCCACGCCAUGCUUGUACAAUAUUAUAUAUUCAGUGUGUAUCACGGGGAGAGGACUGAUGGAGAGCUGCGUGAAUGCACUCUUUGCCCACAUAACCAGUUUGAGUGCUGUUUUUGCCACAAAAGUGCAGGGCUAAUGUGAUCAUUGGCUUGAAUAAAUAACAGCAACAUGACGUUUUUUAAAUUAAAUAUAGUUGAGAAACCAUAACACAUGAAAAUGACGAGCGCUUUAAAUUCCAUUGCAAAAUGGCUCUCUAGUGAUCCUCUUCAUCUUUUUUCUUCUUUGCCAAAAUGCCUCAAAGUCGGAGGGGUUGGGAAUGUGGAGUAGUUAUUAAUACUCCAUCCAUCCUAAAUUGCACGUCAUCUUAAGCUUUUCUAGAAAUAUAUAGUAAAAAUUAUGUAUUUAGAAAACUUAAAAUAAUUUACAGUUUGAAAACAGAGGGAGUAAAAAACAUAAUUUGGGAAGGAAAGAAAGUUUCAAAGCAGGAAUUUUGCAGAAAUUCCUUUGAGUGCAUCCUUACAAUUAGGCUAGGCCCAAACCUAGCCCAGUCCAAUUCAUGAUUCAGCCCAUUCCAUCUCUACAUGGUCUUCCCCAGAAGCAUCCGCCGCCGCCACUCACACCAUCAUUGGACGGCCGCGCGGGAAAACCCCCAAACGCACCUGCCGUCUCCCGCGCCCGCCGCGAGCUCGCCGAAAUGCCAAUGCCACCGCCGCCACCGCCGCCACCGCCGCCGCGGAAGGACUUCCCGGCGUUCCCGUUCGCGCCGUACCCGAUCCAGGCGGAGUUCAUGUCGUUCCUCUACGGCGCCCUCUCCUCCGGCCCCGGCGCCCUCGCCCUCCUCGAGAGUCCCACCGGUCAGUCGCCGACCACGGACCACCACAUCCUCCCUCCUCCCUCCCUCACCGCCAAACCCUAACGGUUACCGGCCUCGCUCCCUUUCUGAUGCCCCCCUGCAGGCACCGGCAAGACGCUCAGCAUCAUCUGCAGCGCGCUCCAGUGGCUCCUCGACCGCCGCGACGCCGCCGCUACGGCGCCGGCCCACCCCAGCGGCGGCGCUGGCCCCGGGGAGGACGACGACGAGCCCGACUGGAUGCGGGAUUUCACGCCGCUGCCGCCGGAGAAGGAGAGCACGAAGAAGAAGCCGAAGCCUCCGGCGAUGAGGAAAGCGGCGGGUUCGGGGAAACCCGACGGAUUUGGGGAGGAAGGCGCCCGAGACGACGAUGGGGAGUUCCUGCUGGAGGAGUACGAGAGCGACGGCGAGGACGGCGCCAGGCACGGGGUGGGGAAGCGUGCACAUUGCGGUAAUAGCAGCAGUAGCGAUGGCGAGGAGUUGGAUGAGGAAGAGGAGGAGGAGGUGACGCCCAAGGUUUACUUCACGAGCCGCACGCACUCGCAGCUCUCGCAGUUCGUGGGGGAGCUCAAGAGGACGGAGUUUGCAGGGAGGAUCAGGACGGUGUGCUUGGGGUCCAGGAAGAACUUGUGCAUCAACAAGGGUAAGGGGAUCUGUUAAAGUUGCUGUGUUUCCUUUGAGGAGGCGCCCCUGUGUGUGAGUGAGUUGAUGUGUGAUGUGUUUGCCUGCAGAUGUUCUGAAGCUGGGCAGUGCAAACCGGAUUAAUGAGAGGUGCUUGGAACUGCAGAAGAACAAGAAGAGCAGCAAAAUUAAGGUCAGGUGAUCUUGAUUGGUUCUUUAUUUGCUUGUACUACUUGUUUGGAGUGCUUUCCUGACAGUCAUUACAUAUUAUCCUUUCACCUGAGUGGUGAAUAUAAUUAUUGUUUAACAAUUUUUCAUGUUUAGGUGACGCUAAAACUCUGCUGCAAUAUCCAACCUGGUUGAUUACUACUAAUUCAUUUGAUGGCCAUGAAUAUGCAGGUUGAGGAUGAUAAAAGAAAGGCGCGCCAAGCAAAGAACUCUUGUGGGUGCCCAAUGUUAAGGAAUAGAAGUCUACAGAAAGAGUUCAGGAGCAAAGUGUCAAACCAGGGUGCAUUAGACAUUGAGGAUUUCGCACAUAUAGGAAAGAAGAUCGGAACAUGUCCCUACUAUGGUUCGCGGGACAUGGUCCGUUCAGCUGACCUUGUAGUCCUUCCUUAUCAAUCUUUGUUACUGAAGUCUGCUAGAGAAUCACUUGGCCUUAAUCUGAAGAACAGUGUUGUCAUCAUAGAUGAGGCUCACAACUUAGCUGAUUCCCUGACCAACAUGCACAAUUCAAAGAUUACAUCAUCUCAGGUUACUCUCACGUUUUAUUCACCUUUCCAUCGCAAUCUGGCAAUAGUAUUUUGCUCUGUGUGGUAGAUAUCUGUAUCUGCUAGCAAUCGUAUUGCUUUCCAUUUCUUUCAAGAAGCAUAAAUAUCUAUUACGAUCCACACUUUUUAUUAUUUACGAUUCAUUGCUAGGACAAAUGUCAUAUAGCUCCAUGUUUUGUAUCCUGAUGCACAUUCAGUAGUGUUGUCAAAACACAAAAAGGGAAUUUAGGAAUUUAGGCAUAUAAAGGGGUCCUAAACAAGGAGGAUCCUUCAGUGGUGAAACUUACCGUGGCUUGCCGACAUGGUUGUAUGGCACAUGAUAAAAUUCUAAAUAUGGUCUUGUCCGGUUCAUGUUCAGAAUUUAAUGUUGAAAACAAAAUUCAGUCAGUACAUGACUUGAGCAUUCCUUCUAAAUUGGCCUUUUUAGUGUUUCCCUAGCCUAAAAUUGGGAUUGUAGCAUUGCUUCUGUAAUGUGCUGCUUACAAUUACGAAAAUAGUGAUGUUCAGAAAACAAACUUCAUUAUCUGAUUCUCAUGUUCCAAACUUUGCUUCCUGAUAUUCAUUUUCCUUUUGGAUUGCAGUUGAAGGCAGUUCUUUCCCACCUGGAUGCAUACCUUAAUAGAUUUGACAAUGUUUUGGGAGCUGGGAAUCGACGAUACAUCCAGACCUUGACAGUUUUAACAAGGUCUUUCCUACGAGCUUUGAUCAACAAUCAGGAUGGUGCCAGCACUAUGUCUUCUAUGACCAUAAACCAAUUCUUAUUUUCGCUUGACAUUGAUAACAUAAACAUAGUAAAACUUUGUCAGUAUGUAAAAGAAAGCAAUAUAAUUCACAAGGUGAAGAAUUCUUCCACAAUGUACUCAUUCAAUUGCCCGAUGCACAUGCCAUCUGACUGUUGUUUUAUCAGGUUAGUGGAUAUGCCAACAAGAUAACUAGCAUCCAAGAUGGUGUAAAUCAGUUCAAUCUCCAGCGGGAACAUGAUGAAGGAAGCAGUAUAGCAUGCUUCCAGGCAUUGGUUGACUUUCUGCGCUCCCUUCUGAAUAGCAAUGAUGAUGGAAGAAUCAUUGUUGCAAAGCAAAAGCUCAGUGGACAACCUGAAGAGGCAUAUCUUAAAUUUGUGAUGCUUUGUGCGGAAAAAAUAUUUUCAGAGGUACUACACCUUGCCUUUUUGUGUCGCCGAAAGUUUAUGCUGUAGCUACCUAUGAAUUUUUGCUCCUUACCUCUUGCAGGUCACUCGGGAUGCUUAUGCUGUUAUCCUGGCUGGUGGAACCCUCCAGCCUAUUGAAGAAACUAGGCUACGCUUGUGUCCAAGCUUACCACCAACUGAUAUAAAAUUCUUCACGUGCAGCCAUAUUGUUCCUCCUGAGAGUAUUCUUCCAAUAGCAGUUACACGUGGACCCUCAGGCAUGACAUUUGAUUUCAGCUACAAUUCAAGGAGCUCUCCUUCCAUGGUUUGCACUUUCUGCCUCAUAUAUCACGUCCCCUAGCUUCUGCCACUCUAGCAUACAUUAUGAAAAUACUAAUUGUAUGUAUUUACUUUUAUAUGUAUUUAUUUUGCAGAGCAUCUUCUUUCCACUAAUCAUCAAUUAAAACAUGUUUAAUUGGCAGUAUUACAACAUGUACCCUCCCUUAGUCAACUUGUCUAUCGUUAGCAAUCCAGGAUUAUAUAAACUCUGCUGCAAAAUGUAUUUAUGAGUUGCUUUUGUAUACCUGUGUUUCUUUUUGUUUCAUUACCUUGUAAUGUUAAUCUUUGUUGAAUGCACUUGCAUAAUUCCUUAUUUAUCCCUUCAUUUCUUUGUUUUUUAAUUGGAAAUAUAACUACUACAUGGUUGCUUCAUUCUAUCCAUCUACACUUAUCUAUAACAGCGAAAUUCUUUUUUUUCUGAAAUUUUUAAAGUGCAGCUUAUCUGCAGCUUCUUUUGUUGCUUUGUUCGUUCCUGAUCCUUGUGCAAUAUGUUCUACUUGAAUGCACUAUCUUUGUGCUCAUUCUUAUUUGCUUGUGUUUGCAGAUUGAAGAGCUUGGACGUUUCAUCUGCAAUAUUGUAACAGUUGUGCCUGAGGGCGUUGUUAUGUUUUUCUCUUCUUAUGAUUAUGAAAGGCGUGUAUAUGAUGCAUGGAUGACUGCAGGCACAAUUUCCAAGAUUUGUAAAAAGAAACAUGUUUUCAGAGAACCAAGGAACAGUGCUGAUGUGGAGUCUGUCCUCAACAAAUACAAGGAGACAAUCCAAUCCUGUAGUAAAAAUUCCCAAGGCCAAGGCAUCAAUGGAGCACUUUUAUUAGCCGUUGUUGGUGGUAAGAUUUCUGAAGGCAUAAACUUCAGUGAUGGGAUGGGCCGCUGUGUAAUAAUGGUUGGCUUGCCUUAUCCAAGUCCCUCUGACGUUGAGCUGGUAGAGACGAUAAAGCAUAUCGAAACUAUUUCCAGCUCAUUUUUGGUUGGAGAUGAUAAGGCCUCAGGGAGAAAAUAUGAUGAAGAAUGUGAACUUCAGCCUGGUUAUGAUAUAUUACGGAAGUGCACUAAAGGUGGAAGAGAGUAUUAUGAGAACCUGUGCAUGAAAGCUGUGAAUCAAUCUAUUGGUAAGCUGCUUCACUUUAACAUUUGUGAUGCUUAUUCACUAUUGGCAUACUUUCUUAUAUGAUAAGAUGAAACAAUUGCAGGCAGAGCAAUCAGGCACAUAAAUGAUUAUGCUGCAAUGCUGUUGGUUGACUCACGUUAUGCACAGGCUUCAUCAAGCAAGAGUUUUCCCUGCCCAACUGAUAAGCUUCCUCAAUGGAUAAAAGCACGACUCUCUUGUGCUCAAAACUAUGGAGAAGUUCAUAGACUGUUGCAUCAGUUCUUCAAAUUCAAUAAACAAAAAUGCUGAAAUGCUGUAGAAACAAGAAGCAAAGCAUUGCCAGUUGAUGCAAGGCAAGCAGACACAUGCAGGUUUGUGUAUUCAUCUUCAUGUGUUUUUAGAUUGUAGCAUUGUGUUUGCUUAUCCUUAUGUAUACUGCCUAGUUAUGAGCUGUGACCCUUUACAUGGCUGUGCAAUAAUGUUAUUCUGAAUAAAAUAAACUAGUAUUAUAUAGAUAAUUUUUUGUACAGAAUUAUGGUGACAGUUAUGCUUGCCCUGAAGGAAUUAUGAUUAGAUACAUAUUUCUUUUGUUCGAGACUGUAGAACAAAAUAACAAAUAUAAUUAUUUGGUCAGUUCUUAUCAUUGUUUCAGUUCUCUGACAUGAUAGUGUAAAUCUAAUAAAACUCAUUUAACUGAUGCAGGACAAAUGGAAUUCAUGUGUUACUACUAAUAUGAUGGUAUAUUUUUGAAGUGGGGACAGAGUACUAUUUUGAUCCUUGCAAGUUAUGGUUACAUGGAUAAAUUCUUGAAAUCUACAAUCUAGGCAAGUGAUCUCUAUGUGUGCAAUUUUAUUAGUUCUGCCAUCUUGCUGUCUGCUUUUUCUAAAAAGAAAAAAGAGGAAUAGGAUGAAACAAAAAACAAGCUACAAUUUUCAGCUAUCCUUUUUUUGAAGAGCAAGUCCACCAACUUUUCAAUUUGUUGUUCCUUCUGAAGGAUUCAACUACGAAUUAUCUCAGUAUUACAUUAUUGCCAUACUAGGACAUCCUUACUUAACCAUAUGCAUUAGAUUGCUAAGCUAAUAAUCUUCUGAAGAACAUUUAAUACAACCGAUUAAUAUUUUGUGGUGGGUUAAAACAUUCAGCCUUUUCUCACUAUGCAGAGGCCGGGAUGUUUAUUUCGAUUAUCUAAAAAAAAGCUUGCAUCUUCUUGAAUUUUAGACAACCUAGUUAUCAGCUAACCAGAAGAAACGGAGCAUCAGGGUUGUGUUGUGUGCCACAGUGAAGACAGGGAAGGGGCCAGCCAGAACCAAAGAUUUUAUUGAACUGAUAUUAUUGUGAUUUCAUUGCCCAUACAUGAUGAUUCAGCACUUUAUUACUUGUUCUAUGAUUCUUCAGCAGCAGGCACCGCCACCAGCGAUGGCGCACGGAGUGGUGCAGUAACUGGGCAGUGAAAUGCCACACAUGGCCGGCAGGUUCUUGGCACCCAGAGCAGCAUGCUGAAGUUCAUAAUACUCGGAGCCUUGCAGCAUCAUCUGCUGUACUGUAGUUUCAACCAAGCUGCAGACCUCCUGGCAUCGAUGGAGCGGCUCCACUUGCCUGAGCUGCAGGCAGCACUGCUGGUGCAUCGCCAUGCAGCUGCUUGGCUGCCAUGUGCGCGACCAGGCGUAGGGCCACCCUGUGACCGCGGGACACCUCUGCCUGAGGAAUUCGCCACAUGGGUGCAGGCUUCCAUAGUAGCCUGGCUGCUGCGCAGAGGCGCUGCUAGCUGCGAGAGUGAGGAGAGCGAGCACGAUGAAGAUCUUCAUGCCGGCUGCUCCUGUAGGAUGCUACUUUGAUUUGGUUUCUAUGUUAUGUGAAGGAAUUGAUGGUUGAUGGUGCUAGAGGAUCAUAUGAGAGGGUUAUUUAUAAGGGUGAUGGCACGCCGAAUGCGUUCUGGGUUUGCUUUUGCUUGUGCAUUUGCAUUGCUUUGCUUUGCUAAGUUGCUAUCUCUGCGUGGGGUGUCAUUGCGUUUGGAUGCUUACUUAACUGAACAUUUGGAAUGUUGCAAUAGCUGGAAAUAAAGGUGCACUUGAAUGUUCAUCAAAGUUACUUUACAGCACGUGAGAACGGCAUGGAGAGCUUCACACGAUUUCGUCACUGUACUUGACUUGUUGAGGUGCUUCUGAUUAGAUAGCUUGCUAUGGCUUCUAUGGUUCCCUUCACGCAUUUGAACUGUUCUGCUUGAAAAACUCUACUCUCGUUUCCCUCUAGCCCACGGUUUUUCUUUCGUUUCCGAAAACUAGAUUUGUAAUGUUCCGGAAGCUGUUGAGAUAAAUCAUAAUAGUAUAGUUGACAUGACUUGCCAAAACGUACUCCCUCCGUUCCAAAUUUUUUAUCUUUUUCUAACUACAUAAUUUUUGCUACGUAUCUAGAUAUAGCAUAUAUCUAGAUGUAUAGCAAAGUCUACAAAUCUAGAAAAGCUAAAACGAAUAGUAAUUUGGGACGAAGAGAGUGCAUGGCGAGCAUUGUCCGGACUCCUGAGCACUCAGUUCCUCUGAAAUCAAGCUUUAGGUGAAUAAUUCACUUUCCUCUACAUUUUUAGGGUCGUUACAUUCUAUAUUACUGAACUACGAUUGCAAUAUUCUACAAGUUAUUGCCAGGUUUUGGUUCAACUGAGCUUGUAGAAGACCGGGCGCAGAAAAUGUAUAUCAUGAAUAGAACUUAAAAUUAUUUCUAGUCAGGGAAUAAGUUAAAUAAGUUAAUGGAUUGGUAUCUCUUUGCCAUGGCAGGGAGACAUGCAAGAUGUAUCAGCCUAGUAGAUGUAGGACAUUAAUCACCACCUAGUCGCUAAAAAAGAUGAAGAGGUCUGAUGUAUUAGAGCAACUCCAAGAGUUUCUCAAAAUUUGGCACAUUAGUUGGGCUGACCACCUCCCGUCACGAUCACCUUCUCCCUCAUCGCGAUCUCCAGCGCCGCCAUUGUCUCCAUCCUGCGUCCCCAGCUUGUGCGCCUCUGUCACCACCACCGCGCUGAGGCCGACCAAGGCGGGCAAGAACGUGCGCCUCAUCCGCCUCUUGCCGGAGAUGGACUGCCAGGCUAGGGAGCUGCCACUGUAUUCUGGACACAUGGCUUCUUCGUUCAUGGAUAGUCUAUGUUUUUAUUUGGAUUAGUUCAUGAACUGUCAACUCUCAAGCUCUUAGCGGCCGCCACACGUAGCUGUGGGGUGAUUGGGGAGGAAAAGGUUCGCGAAAAUUUGCAGAGCGACGAAUCCGGGAUUCGCAUCGUUGUAUUUUUGUGGUGUCAUUGGAGGAGCUGUUGGAGGCUCUCUUUUCUCCCUAAUUAAGGUAUUAGGGGUACCCAUUUUACUCCUGGCCUAUAGGGCAGGAUAAUGUCGAAAAUGUUGAAUAGUGCAUAAAUUAAACAUAACUACCACCGCUUCAAAUGGACAUUUCUGCCCUUCUUUUGUUGCCUGUCUAAGUGGAAAAUGUUUUGGAUAACACAAAACUCGGGAGUGCACCUAGGUAGGCAAUAUGUAGAGUGAAGUGGAUUUUAUAUUUAGACAUACCCAUAAGGAAAAUAUAAUGCACGUGCGUAUUGGAUUCAAAUGUGUAUCUAAUACUCGCAGGAUUUUGCAAACUCAGGAGUUCUCUCGCUUGACCCCUUUGAGGAAAAAAGGACAACAAUUGCAUUCCCUACUAGAUAUGUGGCUGAAUGUAAUAUUAAGUUCUAGGUAGUCUUUUUAAGGUUAAUGAUGUUCAAGCGGUCCUAUGAACACGUAGAACUUGCAACGAUGCAAUUGUAGCUCAUAGAAACCGGUAUCCACAAACUCCUUGAUUACAAUUAAGCAUCCAUGCAUCCAUGCAGUUAAAAAUAUAGGAGUGCAUGUAUUCCUCGUAAAUGUUCGUGUGCAGGGUUACAUGAUCAUACAUACAUAACAUUAUAAGGAAUAUGAUAAUCCACUAAUCUAUGAUGAUGGAUUAUCGUCACAAAAGUGAUGCAAUUUCUUCAUAUCAUGCAUAAUAAUGAUGUUUUUCUUGGACCACACAAACACACAAUUGUUGCAGAAUCUGUCAUAUAGAAUGUACUUUGUGACAAUGUUUAGAAAAUGGUCACAGGAUGUAAUACAUUCACGACAAUUACUUUAUCAUCAUGAAAUGUAUGUAUGCGUUAUAGUCACAAGAUGUGUAUGUUACAUUAUAUGUAUGAUGAUAAUUUCUGUCAUUUGAUGUAGAGUGGAAUGUCACAAAUCAGACUACAAAGCAUGGAUAAUGUACAAAAUAAAUUGAAUUUUCAUGUCAAAAUAUUUCUUGUGACUAAACAACUGGUCACGAAUACCACGAUGUGGAAGCUCAAUGCAAGGAUGACGAAAAAAAAUUAUCACUAAUAUUGCAGUAGAGUGUAAAACACCCUCAUAGUCUCAUCGCAUUGAUCCGAGGACCCUCAAGGCAUGCAAAAUUAAUAGUGGUAUCUGUGCAACAUGACCCAUUACAUGAUCAGGCACAAAAUAUAAGAAUUUUCAGGCUCAGUCAUGCAUUGUUAUCAUGUACUUCAAAAGCUUCUCCACCAUUCAUGGCUACAGUGACACAUAAAAGAUGGAUAAGAUAUAUUUCUUGGAAUGAGGCUAGGCAUGCAGUCAAAUCCCUGCAAAGCUCUAUCAAAUCCCAUAAAUUCCCAAAGCUCUGUAAAUUUCCAAAUAAGCCCCUAAAACUCUAGAAAAUCUGAAACCAAGCCAGUUAUUAAAGAGAUAUACCAAACCAAUGGCCAUCAAGUUAAGGGUCAAAUUGCAAAAGGGAUACUUUCCAAAUUCAUUGCUAAUUCAUCACAUCCCCAAGAUUAUCACCAAAUAAAUUAUGAGAAUAUUUUGUUGACAUGUGACCGGUUAGGUGGUAAACCACCACAUCAUUUUACCAUGAAUAGUUUACACCUACAAACAUAGGUGCCAUCUCACGAAUUUUACCAUGCCACGGAUCAGGAAAAAAUAAAUUGUAAAUAAUGCGCUUCAAGGUGGUACAAAUAUAUAGGAGGAUUAGUUAACCAUGCACAUAAUCAACGAAAACAUGAGACAUGAAUGACAUUUAUGCAUUGAGGUGCACAUGGAAAUGGUUGACGUAAUAAUUGAAUAAGGAUCAUUAAUCCUAGACUAGUAACUAAAGAAGAAAAUGAUCGAUUUGAUAUUAUGGACAAUUGGCCAAACUGUUCUGGUUUUUGUUUUUAUAGGAUGGCCUGGCUUAUUCUUUACUUGUGUACGGUUGGUUUUCAGGGAUUGCAUAGAAAAAAUCCACAGUUAAGACUUGGGAAAGGAGCAACACUAAACUGUAAACGUGAAAGGACAUGUGGUUCUUUAUAUUAAUUUAGUUCAGCAUGGCAUGGCCGUUAGUGGGAGUUAAAGAUGUACAAAACUAAAAGUUUAAUUUCUGCCUCUAUUUCCUACAGUAUUAAUCUAACAAACAUUUAAGUUACAUUUGUGCAAAUGUUGUCUCCAUAUGUUAUAGUAUAUGUGAUUGGUCAUGGCAUACAACUUAACAUAGGUGUGGGAUAGUAUAUUUGUCAGAAUAAUAUUGAAGCAACUGUGUAUAGAUUAUGGUGGUUGCUAAACACCAGAUAGAAAAUCAAAUGAAAGAACUUCAUACAUGAUAUGUUGAUGUAGUGGAGAGUCUCUAUGUAUGAAGCACUGUAAUUUUUAUUCUAUACACAAAACUAUUUUUACAGGAAAUUUAUAUCCAUCAUCAAUGAGAAUUGGAAGUGUUAGGAUUUAGUCUUCACCUUGCUGAAUGCUGAGGAAGAUGAAGCUUGCCAUUUUUUAUGUAGCUUCAGGGCAGAUGAUGAUGAUGAUGCUUUCGACCGAAGAAAUAGAUGAAUUCUGCAAAUGAAACACAGGCACAAGAGAGAAAGCAACGAAGUAUUUUCUGAUUAUAGUUAAUUAGAUAAGGUCUGCCUCGUAAGUUUUAUCAUGAUCAUAUCAUCAUUAUUUACGAACCAUGCACGAAACCAAAGCUCCAAUUUUCCCAUAAAUCGGCAAAAGUAUUGUGAUCGACAUUAUUACAGACCGGUAUAAAAUCCAAAUAAAUUAAAUAAACACCACAUAUAAUGUGCAAUCUUUAUUCAGCGUCUCUCACUGCACCGUACCAUUGUUUAGCCAUCGUCCUAGUUACUUGGUGCCGGAAGGACCAGCAACGUUGGAAGGACCGGCAGUGCUUGAAGGACCGGCACCUUCGUUCGAAGUACCAGCGACAUUUGAAGGACCGGCAUCUUCGUUUGAAGUACCAGCAACAUUCGAAGGACCGGCACCGUCGUUUGAAGUACAAGCAACAUUUGAAGUGCCGGCAUUGUUAUUCGAAGUGCCAGCAACAUUUGAAGAAGGACCGGCACCAUUGGAAGGCCCCGCACUGUUUGAAGGACCUGGACGGUUGGAAGGACCAGCACCGUCGUUACGCCUUCCAUUCUCCAGCUCCUGCAUACCUCUGUUGAUUACGUCAUAUAGUUCUUGCUUCUCGCCCUUGAAGGUUUCCAUCUUCUGCUUGAUCUUAAACAGCCCACCCGUGCCAACCUUGGUCGCACUUUGCUCCAGUUUCUUGAUCUUUCUGUUGAGACCACUAACCUGGGGCAGCAAAACAAGCAGAUGACAUGCAUGAAUUAGCUACCGAUCCAGUACCAUAAAUUUAUAAAUUCAAAUAAUGCAUGAAUUUGGAAUACAUACUCUGCGCUUAAACAUGCGAUACGUCGGGUCCUUUUGGCAAAGGAGCUUAAACAAUGCUGAUGCAAAGUUGGGCGCAUUGGCGAGAUGAUCGUCGUUAAUGUUGAGGUAGUCCGGAGUGUCCUGGACGGUCAUCUUGGAGAGCUUCUUGCCUUCCUCCCUUUUGAGAGCUUCCACGCGUAGGUGCUCCUGCAUGCUUGGGUACAUCAACACAUCGACACCGGAAGCUGGAUCGUACGGUGGAACUUGAGAGGAUUCGAGUAUAUGAUCUGGUUUGAAACCCUCCCAGUUAAAAGGAGGGAAUUUGUCCAAAGCAUCGGUUGCGGGCUGAUGAGCGGCUGCAGGCACUUGUGCUUCAUCAGCUACCGAUGGGGCAUCAGGGUUUUCUGAAGGCUGAGCGGCUUCGGGAGGAGAUGCUUCAGGGGCUGCAGCAGCUUCGGCCACAGAUGGAGCAUCAGUUUUCUCUUGCGCCUGUGUGACUGCAGGCUGAGCAGCUUCAGAAGGUGUUGCUUCAGGUAUUGCUGCUUCAGCUACAGAUGGAGCAUCAGUGUUUCCUUGCGCCUGUGUGACUGCAGGCUGAGCGGCUUCAGGGAUUAUUGCUGCUUCAGAUACAUUUGGAGCAUCAGUUUUUCCUUGCGCCUGCGCAGGUUGAGCAGCUUCAGGAGUUGCUGCCUGAUGAGCUGCACAUGCAAUACCAAUGUUCAUAGACUCAUAUACAUAUAUAUGCAUGGAGAUUAUCCUUAAUAUAAAAAAAUGCAUGGAUAUUAUGAACAACCAAUAUAUAAUCCAUUUUAGAAUUUCAUUUCUCUCACCAGUUGGAGCAGUGGCCGACAGUAAAUUGUUCAACAUGCCAACCUCGAGCUCCAUAUGUCCAUGGUUGCUCGGCUGUGGCGCGGUGAUAUAGUUGUCGACGACUGCCGCGCUCGGGUGUGGCACGCUGAUGUUGUUGUCGCCGGCUGCCGCGCCGUAGCUAGUGCUGGGGCCGCAUGUGUCCUGCACCAGCCCGGCGUUCUUCGUCUUCAUCUUCUCCACGCUCUUUGCUAUGAAAUUCUGCACCCACUCGUGCCUCCGGCCGCGGAGACUGAAAAAAAGAAACAACCAGAUGAUGUUACCACCUACCUGCAAUAAGAAGUGAUUUCCUUUUUUUUGUGUGUUGAGCACAGUAAUGUGGUUGAUCGAUCGAGCCACUUACUCUAAAUACAGCAGCACUUUCGUGCGGAAUUGGCCGUCUGCAUCCAUGAUCAUACGAUCAAUGAUCGCAUGAUCGUAAGUCCCCGGGUAUGCGCUGUGCACGGCGAAAUGUAUCUUCGACACCCCUGAUGCACCGGUGCAUGCAUUAUAGCAAGUCGUUACUGGAAUAUAAAUCUGAGGAAGAUGAUGUGCGUAUAUGUAAAGAACCAUGAUGCAUGCUUGCUUGCUUACGUACCAUGGAGAGCAAGAACCUCCCGGACGGAGCGGCACCUGGCGCAGUCCAGCCGGCCUGGGACGAUGGGCUUGAAAGUGACUUCCUCAUCGGCGGGGCCCACGUCGUCGUCGUCGUCAUCGGGCGCAGCAGCCUUGGCGCCACCACCGGCGUUGCCCUCCGCGCCGUCAGUUGCCUGGAGCAUGGCGGCGAGCUCGUCCAACAUCCUGCACAUAGUAGGGCUUGGAGGGGGGAACAUGCUCUCGCCUUCCAACCAAGACGCGCCGUCGACGCCGCCGCCGCCGCCCUGCUGCGGCAUCGGCGUUGGGUCGGGGAAGGCGCCGUGCGCCUGUGGAAUCUGCAUCUCGGGGGCCGGCGCGUGCGUCGGCGGCUCGACGACGUCCUCAAUGGCCAUCGCCUGGACCUGAUGGCGCUCGUCGUUAUUGAAGGCCGGCGCCUCGUAGUGCUGGGCGUUGAUGGGCGGCGCCUCGUAGUGCACGGCGUCGACGCCGCCGUCGCCCUGCAUCGGCGUUGGGUCCGGGAGGCCGUACGCCUGCUGCGUCUCGGGGGCCAGCAUGUGCGCCGUCUGCUGGACGUCCACGGCCAUCGCUUCGUACUGCCCUAUGUCCAUGGCCGGAACCUGAUGGUGCUCGGCUAUCAUGAUCAGCGGCUGAUAGUGCUCGCCGUUGAUGGGCGGCGGCGCCACAUGGUGAUAUGCGUCCAUGAUCGGUGCGUGGUACUGAUAGUGGUCGCCAUGGACGCCGUCUCCCUGCCUCAGCGUCGGGUCAGGGAUGCCGUACCCCUGCUGCAUCUCGGGGGCCAGCAUGUGCGUCGGCUGGACGUCGAUGGCCAUCUCCUCGUACUGUGGCUCUACGUACAUGCCCGCCAUAUGAUGGUCGUCAGUGUUGAUGGCCGGCGCCUCAUAGUGCUCGGCGUUGUUGAUCGGCGCCGCCUCAUAGUGCUCGCCGUUCAUGAGCAGCGCCGUCUCAUAGUGCUCGGCGCCGUAGAUUGCCGGCGCCUCCGGCGCCACGUUCUGCUUCUGUGGCGCCGGGUGGCCGUGGAUACCAGUUGCCGGCAACUGGACGCCAAAAUCCGGCGCCGGGUGGCCAUGGAUUUCAGUUGCCGGCAACUGGAAGCCAAAAUCUGGCGGCGGUUGGCCAUGGAUUUCGGUGGCCGGCGCCGGGAGCGUCUGUGGCGCCGCCGGGAAGGCUUGUUCAGUGGCCGGCGCAUACUGGAAAGGCCCUCCGACAGUGCCCUCCGGUUCAGACAAGCCGUACGGAUGAUCCUCCGGGCUAGGAAAAUUCAGGAAGCGGUCGACGUCGCUGUCAGCGUCGUACGGGUCGCCGUCGGACAUGGCUGCAGGGGCGGCGCAUGCGGAGGCCGAUGGAGAGGGUACUAUGCGUGGGGCAGCGACAUUUCUGAAUGUGGACACGUGCAGCGAGCGCCUGGCCUACGACAGCGGCGGCGCGGAGGGUAUUUGUAAGUUUGUAACUAUACGUACGGCGCCAAGGGGGCGGACGGCGGGCGGUUGCCUGGUGGAGUUGCCGCGCGCGCGACGGGACGCGACGUUUGGCGGGCGGUUCGCGCCAUCUUUUUUUUUCUUUUUUUUGAGAGGGGUUCGCGCCAUCUUAAGCGAGCGGUUUAGGGGAUGGACCGGGAAGGCCCAGUAUCAGGCAUAUAGGCCCAACAAAACGGAGCCCACAGCCCAGCCCAGUUGUAGUUCGCGGCCCACCCUAAGUUCGGACAGAAGAAGGUCCAAAUACCUCACAGCCUUUUCUUUUUGAGAGGGUGGGCUCGACAAAACGGAGCUCAGCCCAGUAGUAGGUCGCGGCCCACUUCUAGUACGCUCACAGCAUGAUGAAGUGGCCUAACAGUGCACCGAGAUCAGCCCAACAAACGGCCUGAUGUGCAGCUGGCUAUAAAUACCGUUGGGAUGUUGUUCACUAUCACUAGCAUCUGCCUCCAACCUCGGCGCGCGGCGAAUUGGAUCACCACCAGUCCACCACCCCUCGAGAGUCACCCACCCAAGCAGCCAAGCUCCUCCAUGCAAUCCAUGGACUGCGGCAGCAGAGGCGGCGGCCGGCGCCUCAAGGACCGCCUCGCCGAGCUGCUCCGCCCGGCCAACUCUCUCCUCCGCUCCCCCUGCAGCUCCACGUCGUCCACCUCCAAGGCUUUCACGGCCACCGUUGCCGCCACUACCACCACCAUCACCACGAUGUCGACCUCCUCCACUUCCACUACCGCUGCCAACUACACCAUCGCCAGCGCCCUGAAGCUCGUCCCCCGCGCCGAGCCCUUCUCCGCCGCUCUCGACCGCCUGCGCCACCCUCCUCCCGAGCGCACGCGCAGCAACGACAAGGAGGGGAACUCCUCCUCCCGCCACGGCAGCCGGCGGCGGCGUUCCAAGAGCGUCGUCGAAAAGGCCGGCGGCGUCAGGACGCUCUCGUCCAACCCCUACGGCUUCACCUCUUCUGGCGAGGAGGAGGAGGAUGACACCGACGACUACUGCUACGGCGACGGCGACACGGAGGCCUUCAUGUCCUCGAAAAGCCUCAUGUCCUCCGACUCUUCCAGCUUCUACACGUCCAGGAAGCUGCCGCCACCACCCACGAACAAGAGCCGCCGCCAGCGGAGGAAGCGGCGGCGUUGUCGGCGGCCAGCGGCGAGCUGCGUGGCGGAGGCGUGCGGAGCCGGCGCCGUGAGGGAGCCGGGGUUCCGCCCGCUGGUGGCGACGACGACGACGGCGGCGGCCGCCGAGGAGGUGCGGAGGGGGCUGGCGGUGGUGAAGCGGUCGCGGGACCCGUACGGCGACUUCCGGGAGUCGAUGGUGGAGAUGAUCGUGGGGCGGCAGGUGUUCGGCGCGGCGGAGCUGGAGCGGCUGCUUCGGUCGUACCUGUCGCUCAACGCGCCGCGCUUCCACCCCGUCAUCCUCCAGGCAUUCUCCGACAUAUGGGUCGUCCUCCACGGCGGCUAGCCGGGCGGUCGCCGGCGUAGUUGGAUCCAGUGCAUGCGCCUGAACUUAAUUGCGUAGGAGCCAGUCAUACUGAGAGUGGUUAGUUGGGAUGUUAAGUGGAGUAUUAACUAUGCUUGUUGAUGAGCAUGAGACGGUAGCUGUACUUGAUUGUGAGGCUAGCAAGCUUGAUGGCUGGCUGCCUGGCUGUGCCUGAUUGAUUAUCACGUUUGAAAGUUUGAUCCAAUGGCAAUAUCCUCUGUGUUAAAUAAGACUCUAUUAUGGGCAUACAUAUUUUUUCUUCUUUUUUUGGGCAUAUAUAAUUUGGGUACUUUUGAAUGACAAUUUUGAUGAAGCAGUGUAGUACUGCUUCAAGUCGCAGCAAUGGUUUGAAACCUUUAAAUCCUGGCGGGUGCAGUCUCAGGAAAUUCUGGCAUGCAUGUUUGCGACAAUAGUAUGACAACUUUUGUGUUCUUGGCACGCCUAGCUAGUAUGUUUACAACUUCAAUUCAAAAGUUCAGUUCAAAUCAUUUCCAAAAACCAAAAGCUUGAUUCAAAAACAAUACCAGUGCUGAUGCAAGAUUCUACGGUAGCUAUAAGGGGUCGUCAGAGUCUCAGGGAAACAUGGAAACAUGACCUGCAUGAAACAGAGAAAGAGCAUGUGGAUGGAAUUUGAAGAUAGCAAUAGAGUAUGGCUCCCAAGGUGGCACAGAGUUUCAGCUAGGAGCUAGCUCGAGCUUCCAUUCCAUGGGAUUUGAGCCAAUCCACAUCCAGCCGAGCUCUCCAUUCCAUGCCUACGCAUCAGAUCCCCUGCCAUCACAUCGUGAACAAGAACAAGAGAGGCGACGACAUAAAUGAGGCCUCCCAGUCUGGUGCCUGUUCCUUUCCAAGCGCCUAGCACCUGGCGCCAAAACCGGUGGCUUGGUACAGACAGGUUUGCAUUCAAACUUUAAUUGCAAAACGAGACGUGUUUGCUUCAAGCCGAGUUUUGAAAGGUGGUGGCGGAGGCUGCACGUUCUCUCUCCGGAUUUGUUUUCGUAUAUCCUCUCAAAUACUACUACUACUAUCAAUUAAUAGGGGGUGGACGGGUGGUUUGACAUGGACCAUAUUUGGUGUGUGCACGCCGUGUGGACCAUAUUCGAAACCUGUACCUACCUUCUACGCAUGCAUUUACAGUACAGUACCUGAGUAUCUUCCUUUUGUUGCUUUUUGCAUGAGAGGAGAGAAAAAGAAAAGCAAGCCAUUAGCCAUAACAUACUACAUAGUACUCCCUCCGGUUUCGAAUUAGAGGUGGUCCAGGAGAAACUUCCGAUUUCAAAUCACAGGUCGUUCUCAUAAUUUCCGUCCAUUCUGAACUAUAUUGCCCUCGCGCGUGCAUUGACGUAGCUCGAUCCCGAGGCUGGACGUGCUCGCUCCCGAGGCAGCAUUAAACCGCGCCACACUGCCCUCUCGUCUUCCCCGCUGCUCUUUAAACCGCGCCGCGCGCUGCUUCGCCCCUCUCUCGCUCGCUGCGCGCCGUUGCUAGCUGCACCAUGGACGCAGGCUCCAUGUAUGGGCGCUCAAAGGUCAUCGCACCGGCGUUCGUCAAUGCAGGUUUAGUGGAUGAGAGCUUGCAGGUCAUCGCGCCGGAGAAGGACGACGAUCACUCCAUGGACUUGCUCAUCGUCCCUGAUUCCGAAGGCAAAGACAACGACCUAUGUUUGUGCAACCGUCGCGGUGAAGUACAUGGUGUGCAAGACAUUGAAGAAUGCCGCUGCAUUCGUAGGGAGCAGAGCAGGUGAUCUCGAUGUCGUCUCGUCCACAAAGACUAUGACCUCAUAGCAUGGAUCGUAUACGGCUUCGACAAAUUCGAUUGUGAGUUAUACAUUCCCAAUGUCGAUGAGCUUCAAAUGGACGGCGAGACAAUCAUUUUACCAGAGGGUGGAUGAACUCAGUCCAAGGAUGCAAAAGUUAAAGGAACAAGAGGCAAAUAAGAAGACUGGUACAUAGGGUAAGUACAGAAAUUGUUACAUGUCUCAUACAUCAACUAACCCUAGUCAUUGCCUAAUUCUAAUCUUCUUCUCCUAAUUGUUUGCUGCAGCAAGAAUUGCCUGGUCAGUUAUGGAUGCCUCACAAGCAAUUUGCAAUGGAAGCUGACCUAGUGUCUCUAGUCUUUUUUUGUUUAUGUGAGGGAUUUUAUAUUUAUUCAUCGCUUCCUUCAUAACUAGAUGCAAUGUGAGCCAAAUUCUAUUAGCCUUCUCUGGACAAUACUCAUUGAAAGCAUGUUUCAGUUAUGAAAAAAAUUGUUAGAAUGAGUAUGGAAUUGGUAUGAAAUAUUAUUGCAUGAAUGUAGUAGUUUACCUCUUGCACAAUUGGAACAAGUUCUUGGACUGUUCUCGCUGAUUUCCUAUAUUGAAUGGCUUGAAUUGCACGAAAGAAACCCAAAUCUAAUACAUUGAAGUCCGAAGAAUUCAGAGGUUGACAAAUAAGUCUAAUAUCAAAUCAUUCUUGCUUAGCAGCUUCACAGAAUAAAUGAUCAUUAACUUCUAAAUGAGAUGGUGCAUUGUCUUGAACAAUGUAGAUCGGUUUGUGAAUAUCCUCCAUUGGCCAUCUUUCUCUAAUAGCUAGCAGCACCCUCUGAAUCAUGAACUCCCUAAUCACAUCCCUUGUGAUGUGAGCAAUUGGUUUAACUUCCCAUGUUCUGGCUUGCCGAUUCACGCUACUCCUCUUAGCUUGUUCAUAAGUCACAAGAGGGAAUAAUCCAAUUUUUCCAUCAAAAAUACAAAUUCCAUUAUGAAACCUUGGCCGAGGUGAGACAACCAGAAACAUUAGGCACGGAAUGUAGUUCUUACUUUUACUAGAAUGAUAUGGAUCAUCUUCCUCGGGCAACAAGUAAUAUUUUGCAGAAUUUUGUGUAAGGAAAAACCACUUCUCAUCGAUGAAUACAUGAUCAAAUAAAUCUUUGAAACAUGGAUCAUUAGGUGUGCUAUCCGGAUCAAGCAUAUCAACACACCACCGCAACCUAGUUUUCUUGUUUGCUUCGGUUAGGUAAGGUUUGAUGCUGUUUGAAUGGCGCCUAAGGAGCCCUUUACGCAUGAAUCGAAUCAACUUUGCCUUGCUAACAUGGAGGCACCUACUCACAGCUUCUAAAGUUAUUCUUUCAUUGAGAGAAAUAUUGCGUAAAGGUUCCAAAUCAAUAGGAGUUUCCUUACGGUCCGAAUGACCUCUCUUUCUACUUGUUAUAUUGAUCACAAUGCCUUGAGCUAGUGACUCUCUUCCUCUCUUCCAAAUCUUCUGAACAGCACGAAUAUGCAAACCAAAGUGAGAUGCAACCUCUCUUGUAACUCUCUUCCCUAACCUCCCAUUGUUACUUCUUGCCAAUAAAGUUUGGUAAAUUAGUUUCCUAACUUCAUCAGUAGCAUCUUUCCUUCUACUAGCACCUAGAAGUUUAAAAUAAAAAUGUGUGAACAUGACAUUCAACACAGCUACAAGUUCACAAAAACACAAAUAAAAGUUCAAGGAACAAAACCUAUCACUGCCAUCACUUGUUUCCUCAAUCAAGUCCAUCACAUCAUUGCCAUCAUGUUCAAAGUUAAGAUUAAAUCCACCUACAAGACAUAAUUUUAGCCGGUAGUACUCUUGGGGUGCUUCAAAAUCAUGAUAAAAAGAUGAUAAGAAGCAUUUUCAAAUAACAAACUGACCAUAUUGGGGUGCCUCAAAAUCGAUGGCACCAUAUUCAUCUAGUGGCGAGUUCAAAUCGAUGAAACCAUCAUCUUGUGCAUCCAUGUUUAAAUCAAAUCCUGUUAAAAAAAACUAAGAACCGAUGACAUACUAAAAGGAUAGUUGCAGGGGAACUGAAGAAAGAAGAAGAAGUAAAGCAUUAUCGAUGUCAUUUUCCAAAGACGGAGGUUACUGGUUCAUAUGGAAGGCCGGAAAGAACUCACCCAUUUUCUACACAAACUUCAGACCUUGGACGGUGCCCUGCUGGCCUGCUGUGCGUUUAAAUAGGCUGAGAUGAAAACAACUGAGGUGAGGGAAUGGGAAAAAAAAAGAGCGCCAUGCACGACGCGAACGAAAAAAAAGGCACCAUGCACGGCGCGAACGAAAAAAAGGCGCCAUGCAAAUAACCAGCGCGUGUGUCCACAUCGCCAUGCAAAAUCGCCAAAAGUCGCAAAAACAAGCAACUCAGGAAUCGAACCCGCGGCCUAAAGAGUCCAGAACAAAUGCGCCAGCCACUCCGGUGGAGAGAGGUUGUUGUAUUGAAACGACUCCAAGGCAUAUUUAAUAAGGGCAAAUAUGAAAAAAUAGACCCAAAUUAAUUACACCUUGGUAUGCUAAACCUUGUCCUAAACGACCUCUAAUUCGAAAUCGGAGGGAGUACAGAUUAUUACUCAUAUGGAUAAAAUGUUCUGCAGAAACUAUGCUUCUAACUUUCAAGACAAGGCUCUCCAAAUGACAGUUACGUAGGCACAUUUUCCAGAUCUACUACAACAAGCUAUUAUUGAAAUUAUAAAAUUCAUGUAUACAGUAAUAGUAGACUAGAUGAUGUUAUGAUAUUAAUUCUAUCUCGCGUCCCAAAUUGUAGGUCAUUUUGACUUUUCUAGCUAGGUGCAUAAAUCACUACUAGAAUUGUAGGAAUGGCUAACAGAUAUUAAACAGUCGGGCAUUGAUUUGAACAGUUGGCAAAUGCAAUAGCUGGUGGUAUAGCUAGAUGCAUACAAACAUUUAUGAAUCUAGAAAAGUCAAAACGACCUACAAUUUAAAAUGGACAAGUUCUAUAUAUGUGCAUAUCUCCACGUACUAGAGGGCAAGUUUUUGUCCUCUAGUGCAUAUGCUUCUAACUUUUUACCAUUUUUUAUAUAUUAGCAAAUUAAUACAGUUUGAAGUUGAAAUUUCGUGUGGUUUAUACCAUUAUUGUCCCACCUACAAGUUGUACCAAAUCUUAAAAUAAAAUUCAAAGUGCCUACUUGAGCAUGCGUACAGUACAUAGGAAUAAGACGAGAACGUCUAGUCUGGCUACUAUCUUGCCAGCAGAGACUGAUGAAAGGUCACGUCAGCCGUAGCUUUCCAUGGCUUUCGAAGGAUGGGCUAUCAUGGCGCAAUGAUCACAAGCGUAAAUACGGUUUAUGAUUUUCCAUUGAUAAGCCAUCAGCGUCGUUGCAACAUUAUUGCGCACAGGAAUUAAGUGAAAAAAAAAUAUGCUGUACAGAUCGAUCCAAGCUAGGCUUGACUCAAAUUGCGAAUGACACGUACGUAACGGUUCAUCGCAUGACAAAAUAAUACAGAUGAAAAGAUGUGGUGAAAAUUGUGAAAAAUGGCAUGGUGCGGCAAGCCGACAACCUUUUGCUUUUGCAUGCCGUCUGAGAGGCUGCAGCUGAGCCAACUACACACAAUAACUGCGCCGGCCGGUGGCCAGGCCCCGGCCGCCGUCGACGACACAAGCUUGCUACUUGCUGCAUGCUUGCAGAAUUCGGCCGGGGCGGAGAGCUAGCAGUUGGAGCCUUCGAGUGGCAGUAGGUCACGUUACGUUAGGUUAGGUUAGGUUUAGGUCAAGGGCAGAAGGCGAUGAGCCUUUCCCAGAUCGAAACGGCCGGUCAAAUUAAAGCCGCAGGCGAUUGGGCCUGGAACCACGUGCCCGCCCAUCCACGGCCCGGCAGCGUUCCGUCUGCCCCUGUCGCCGUCGUCGGCGUCGCCAUUGAUGCAGCCCUAGGCCCUAGCUCCACAGCGUUUGGUCGGGUCCGGUGCGUGUAGCAGCCAGCAGCGGCCGUAGCAGGGCCCAAGGGCCAAUAUGCAGCUUCGAUAUAGUCAGUACUAUGUCUGUUGUUGUUGUAAUUAUAUAUAAAUUGCUCUCUGAUCGGCUGUGUCGUUCGUGGCAGACUGAGAUAGUCGUCAGUACGCGUACAGGGAGCUGACGGCCGGCCGGACGGCGAGUAUGCAGGGACGGGCCGGCCGGCGACAUGCAUGCGCGCGACAUCUCGUUUGCAUGCCCGGCGUGCUCGGGCAAGGCAAGGCACCAUGCAUUUGUCCAUGGAUGGAUGCAGACAUGCGGUGCCUGUUUUCCUUGCAUUGCGCAUGCAUCGGUGGCGUGCGGCGUGCCUAGAGAAGAAUGCGGUGGGGGCCGGGCGCGUGGUCCCACUGGUUGGUGGGCCUGGAGUGCAGGAGUGAAUCCAUCGAGGCCUGGCUGGAUCAGUGUGCAUGCUUGGGCGAGCGCGGCCGCGAGCGACUACAAAAAGAGUUGCGCAUGUGUUGUGGAUGUAGAUGUGUCAGGUCUAGUCGGGCAAGGUUAAAGCUGUGUGCGACUCUGUCACUGCUGACCCACUGGCUCGUAGUAUUAUAUCGAGGACUCCUGAUGAGCGCAGUGGGCCUCCUGGCUCUUAUUGUGUUAAGAUUAUAAGAAAAAAGAUUAACGAAAGGCCGAUGGGAAUCAGUUUCUGCUACCAUCAGGAGUAGUACUAUACUCUUCAUACAAACUACUACCUCCGUCCUUAAAUAUAUACGUCGUUUAGAAUAAGCUAGUUAGUUUAAAAAUGAACUAAUUUGCUUAUAUAUUUAAGAAUGGAGGGAGUAUUUGAGUGUGUCACAAGAUUUCACAGCUAAAUUUACUUUAAUCGAAGCAAAUAAUGCCUCAAAUUCCAGUAGUUUCUAAUGCACAGAUAUUUUUAAACAGUACUCGAAUGGAUCUACACGCAAGGGUUUUCCUUUUCCCAUUAGCAGGUUUGCAUAUUCCUAUGUAUGUGUAAGGCUCUAAGGUAGCCCAUUUGUGCAACCAAAUCAGACAAUGACGUGGCCACCCGUACACAACGGCUAAUUUCUAAACUUCAAACAAGUUUAUUCUAAAAAACUUUGAAAGCUAUUCCAAUUAUGGUUUGAGGCAUAAUCAUAAUGCAAUGAAACAGCAAUUAGCUUGCAAAAAGAUGAACAAUUCAUACAUGGCCAAGCACGCGCACACAAAAUCAAAGAUAAUAGAUAAGACCCAACCAGGACGAAAGAACAGUCGGGAGGCCCAGCCCAGCAGUAUGGGCUGUGCAAUUGGGGCCGACCAAAAGCUCGCACGCGCAACGCAGAAUUAAGUGUAAUAGAAGCCCAUAAUGGCCCGAUGUGGGUUUUCUGGGCCUUCAGUUUGUUAGCCAUCAAUCUAUAGCGUAAUAGGCCGUUUUUCUUUUUAGAUCGGGAAGAAAAUGGUUGUGCUCGUGCAUUGGUGGCAAUGUCACUUAGCUUCUCUCAGUUCUCAAUUCUCAACUCUCAAACAGAAAGAUCAAUUCCUAAUCGCUCAUAUCACAAGAUUAAGUCUACUCACAACUCAGAGCGUAAAAGGCAAGAAUUUCCAAAGUGCAAAACUUUUUCUCAAAAUAGGUAGUAACAUUUUGCACUUGCACAUGAGUACAGCAGGUGAAUUCAACGAUCGGCGACGGUGAGCACCGUCGUCGUCAGUCAUGUGUCGAAACCGCGUGCCUGCUGCCGCCUGCCAAACAAUUCCACGGCUCGCUGUAAUCAAAAACCUCUCUGGUCCUGUGCAGCUGUUAUCCCUUACCCGACCAUGCUUGCGGAUGCAGAGUUGACCCGGCGCCGCCGCGUACCCCGGCCGGUGAUUUUGAUAGUAGGCGUUCCUUCAGUUGGCAGCAGGAACAUCAUGUAGUACAAAUUAAAAUUAAUCAGUGAGACCUUAUGAUUUGUAUAUAUAUGGUGAUUGCGUAUAAGCAGGAUGCAUGAAACAAAUUAAGCUGAGUGGGUGGCGGUGGAUGAUUGCAGGCACAUGGUCUGAAAUCUGCAGUUGGAGAUGCCUUCACGUACCAAGAAGCAGCACGCAUCCUCCUCCGAUUAGGCAUGCAAAUGCAUCUCUUCCGUUCGAGCCUGCCUAAUGAUGGCUUCCAUAAGACAAUUACGUUUGCCGGCACUUGAGAUUUUGUGCUGGCUGAUUGAGUCCAAGACCUCAACUCAAGUAUCCUGGUGUCACGAUCAAUGUCAAGACAACCACGCACAUCUGCUGAUCGAGUCCAAGACCUCAACCAUAUGCACUAGUAUACCCUAAUAUCACAUUCCAUGCACAAUACACACCACGCAUCUGCUGAUGGAGACACUUGUACAAAACUGAAACACCCAACUGCUGUAGAUCAUAUAUGAUUAACUCGUCAAUGCAGACAGCAGGAUUCGCGUACGCGGCAUGUGGCGCACGGAUUAUUCUAUCGCCGUGGCUUCCAUUCUUUAUCUUCCCCUACUCUGCUCUCACUCUCCGCCGGUCAAUGCAAUUGGCCUCUCAAGCGUGAUUUGUGUCGGGAUUAACUUGGGAGCUCGAACGCGUGCUACGUCCUUGUGGUUAGUGGACAACAUUGUCAACUCGUCCUUGUGAUUUGUGAAGAAUACCGGUAGUUUCGUCAACUCCGUACUGACUCAGCUAUGUCUCUCUCAGUAAAUGGUUGUAUGGAGGUUGCCGUCAAGUAUUUCCCUUUUAAUUGUUUCCAAGGGCGCAUAAAAUCGUGAUAAGAAAAUAAUUGUCACGUUGAGAUAUUUUUUUAACCUAGUUAGAGUUAGAGGAACAAAUUAGUUUGCAUUUUUUUUUGUAUUUCCCAAGUGGAGGAGUAUAAAAUAGCAAGAGCGCGUUGCAUACGUAUCUAUAGCGUCGUCCCUUUUGUGCUGCGAAAUAGGAGCCAUAAGGAUACCCGCAACACCAUAAGCUAGCCGCUGACUCGAGCCAGAAGAGAGAGAGAGAGAAACAGGACGCUUCGCUUGGCGUGCUGUGAGAGAGCUGAGAGCUCGAGAACCGUGCGAGCUAGGUGCGGAAGCAAGCGCUAGCCGCUUUGCUUUUGCACUGUUCAUCGAGUGAACAGUUGCUUCAGCUGGCGACGUGGCCGGCCGUUGGAGACGCCCUGAGCGUGCAGUUCAGCUGGCUCCCGGGCCGGCCGGCGGCCAAAUCAGGGAGCUCCACUUGGCUUUGCGCGCCUAAAACUUUCUCACAGGAGCUGGAACCCAUGUGAUUGGGGAGCGUAGCUGCUCGUGAGCUGUCCAUCUCCUGCUUCCUACGCGUAACAAACGGCUCCUGAUGACUGCUUCCCAGGUGGAGCCAAAGGGAAGGGUUCGCUAUUAUGGUCACACGUUUCUCUACGUGUUUAGGGGAUGUUUGGGAGGGGGUGCUAAACUUUAGCACCCUCACUUUAGUCUAUUUUAGUCACUUGUGUUCCCAAACAGGUGAGCUAAAACUGGUGGACUAAAUUUUAGCCCCCCACUAAUCCCUUAAUCCCUUAGUCACUUGAGGGUAGCUAAAAUGGACUAAAUGGACCAAAAAGUGGUCCCCCGGACCACUUUCCCCCCUGUCCCCCUCCCCUCUCUUUCCUCCCUUCAGUCUCUCUCUCCCCGCUCCUUCACCUGAACCGCCGCCUCCACCUCGCCUGUCGCCUCCGCCUCGCCGCCGCCACCGCCGCCUCCGGCCAGCCCCGCUGCCUCCGCCACGCCACCGCCGCCUCCCCCUCGUCCGCCGCCUCCGCCUCGCCGCGACCUCCGCCGGCCCCGCCAGCUCCCGCGGCCUCCGCGCCGGCCCCGCCCGCGACGGAGGAUCCGCCCGUGGAGAAGAUGUUGACGGUGAGGGCCAUGGUGGAGGCAUCGCCGACCAUCGGGCAGAUGUACGCCACCCAAGUGAGUAGCGUGUGAUUAGUGAUGCUGCUGCUUGACGAAAUAUUUGCUAAACCUAGUGAAAAAAAUGAAUGGUACUACAAAUGAUUUGAGAACGCAAGACAAAUCAAAGUACAAAGUGCACUACUAUAGUCUGCAUGACGCCAAACAAGCAGGAAGAGGAGGGGUGAAGGAGAGAGAGAAAACAGGGGCAAAUCUGUCUUUUGUCAACACAUGUGCUAAAAUUUAGCCUCCUUCACAAACAUCCUGAAUGACUAAAGUUUAGCACACCAUUUGAUGGUGCUAAAAUUUAGUCCAAGGCUAAAUUUUAGCACCUUCCUUCCAAACAGGACUUUAUUUGAGAAAUGGGUCUCGUGUGAGUUCACACAUACGUUUUCUUGACAGUUUCUCCUAGGCCGAAGAGAUAUUCCAGGGCAACGACGGAUUUAGAACUCGAAGGAAUGGGGCUCAUUUUCCCAUUCGUCUUCCAUUUCUUUUCUUAUUACUCUUCUUCAUCGAUGCUUGGAAAUUUUAUGAAGCACGGUGUAGGGGAGCUCUAGCUCCCCAGCUCCCAUGUUAGAUCCGUCCCUACUCCAAGACGCGUAUGUAUUUGCAUUCUCUUCAGUUUCGUAUAUUUCGAAAAAAGAAAAAAACUUUCUAAUCAUUAGGUGCACCAUGCAAAUAUGACACGUAAAUGGUGUACCAAAAUACUCCGUGACAGUGCUGCAUCUAUCAAAAUGGACGAUGAAAAGAAUGGACGAACUAUGCUCUGAACAAGUAUCUGCCUGGUUCGUUUAAAAAACAUUCUUGGAGUAAGUAUCGAGGUGCCACCUCGGUGAGGCUUUUUUUUUUGGAGGGUGAAGCGGCGAGGUUCACAGCACGAAUGAAGAUUGAUGAAAAGAGAUACUAGGAGCUAAGCUUAUUCCACAGCCACACUUUUCGUGGAUAGAUAGAUUCAAAGAGCACGCACCACUUGCGCAGAAAAUCGUAAUACAAGAUUAGAUCCUCAGCUCCUCUCAGGCUCUCAACCAGGAGGCGAAGGCAAUUUGCCAAGCUAACGACGAGGCCAUUGCUGUCAAGCAAGCGAAGAGGGAGCAAGUCGAGAGCACACGUGACUAUACAUCCAAGGGCAAGGGCGUGGCAGUGUGUGCUCUAGAUUCGGAUGCCUCCAUUUCUGCCGUGUUCUUCUCCUCUCCGGCUCCCCCCGGACAGCGCGUCACACAGGUCAUCAUCCCCACGUGUGUCCGGCCCUACGCCGCCAAUCACGCUCGGCCGCUGCGCCGCGGGCCCGGUACUACCCUAGGCCGUAGGGCGCGGGCCCACCCACGUUGCGCGCGAACCUGGACUCCUGGACAAAGUGACAGAGAGCGAAGCAGCCGCCGGGUCAGUCAGCAUCAGCAACCGAAAACGCCAGGGGCUGACCGGCGGGACCCAUCACCCGCUUCCGUUGCCACAACAUGGGACGGUGGGAGCCCCCUGACUCGGAGUGGUUGACGCUGACGCGCGGGGUCCACGCGGGGUAAAACCGCGGUGACCCGCCGUAAAGGCUGCGUAAUCCAACGGCAGCAGGAGCCGUGAAAAAGGUGACGCGCGCUUUAUCCGGUGACACCACCCAGCGUUCCCACCAUUUCCCGCGGUCAAAAGCGAUGGCGGGGCACCGCGGAGCGCUACCACGCGCAGGCCUACGACACUUCCCACGUCAUAUUCCUCGCUCGUCCCUGACAUCUAGGUCCCGCGGACCCGCCGCGUCCAUCUGUCGGUGACCGUGCCAGUGAAGCCUCCCGGUACGCAACGCAACGAACGACCGCGCUACGCUCACCCCACCCGAACGCUGUCGAGCCGCGGACCCACCCCGCUCGCGGGAUGGGCGGGCCCACCACGCCCCCGCUGUCACCCUCCGCUUUCCCACCUCAUUCCCCCCUCCCUCCGUCUCACUUUCCAUUUAACGCUCGACCGCCCCGCUGCCUACUCGGCUGUGUGUGCUGCCGCUCCUCUCUAUCUCCCGCUGCCGCUAGCUUGAUUGAUUAGCUAGCCUCCUCCACUUAGCUCCAAUUCCACCUUUCCCACCGCGGAUCGAGCGCGAAGCAUCUUGGCAUCUCGCCGUCUACUCUUCCACCAGUCCACUCUUACGCGCUAAGCAACCGACCGGCCCUAGCUCCGAAGCCGGAGCAGCGGGGGGGUUCGGGGCGCGAUGUCGUCGCCGACGGCCGCGCCGGCGCCGACCACGCCGUCGGCCCCGCCGGCCAACAACGGCACCACCCCGCCGCCGGCGACCCCGUCCGCGCCACCGCCGUCCACCCCGGCAGCGCCCACUCCGCCGGCCCCCGCCGCGCCGUCCCCGCCUGCCCCCUCCGCGCCGCCGCCCUCCUCCCCCUCCGUCCCGGCCCCCUCCACCCCCGCCGCGUCCCCGCCCGCGCCGUCCUCCUCCACCCCGGCCACGCCAUCCGCGCCGUCCCCCUCCUCGCCAGGGACUCCCUCCACGCCGUCCCCGCCCUCGGACACGCCGUCGCCGCCCUCGUCCGGGGGAGGAGGGAAUAGGUCCCCGUCCCCGCCGUCGUCCGGGGAAAGCGGGGGCAGGUCCCCGUCCGGCCACUCCCCGCCCAAGUCCCACAACUCGGGCGGCGGCGGCGGCGGCGGCGGCUCCGGGCCGUCCACGUCGCUCGUGGUGGGCGUCGCCGUCGGGGGGUUCGUCCUGCUCCUGCUCGCCAGCUUCAUCUGCCUCUGCUGCCUACGCAAGAAGCGCCGCCGUGCCCCGCAGCCACCGCCGCACUACGUGUACCCGCCGCCGCAUCAGCCGCCGUACAAGGGUGAGUUUAGAUCUCUCUCGUACACCUCCCGUGCCUGCCUGCCUGUCGCAGUGUCGCUGUCUAGAUCCAGAUCUGGUGUGCAGGUGGCGUGAGUAGUAACUAGUACUCUCGUUGCUGUCGGUUUCAAUUCUUGUCUUCCUGGCAAUUCGGGUGGCGGUGGAUCUUACGUCGCGGCAUGAACAUGGGUGUUAGGUGUGUGGGUGCCCGAUUCUUCACGUAGGUCUUGUUGACAUGUGCAAAGUGGGGUGAAAAGUGUUAUUAAUUUCACUAAGAAUAGAAACUAUUUUCAAUUUCAAGAGAAUUGGACCUGGAUUUCAUUCAUACUCACUAAUCCUUAAUUGUGAUGGUGAAGUCUUAGUUGCUUACGACAUGGUGUGCUUUUCUUAUUGUUCAACAACAAACUUUCCUGUGAUUACAUUAUCUGGUAGCCGUUGAUGGAUGCCAUGCAUGCUGUCUAAAUCAAAUGACAUAUUAUAUUCGCUUUUAGCUAUUGCCUGUUUGUUUUGUUCGGAAAAGAAAGUAGGAGCAGCUCGGUAAGAAUAUAAUUAUGUUCUUUACCAGAUGGAGACAUAAUUUAUCUCACAUGAUGUUUCAUCUUACUGCAGAGGAUCCAUAUGGUGGAACAUACCACCAGAGUUGGCAGCAGCAAAAUGCGCCUCCUCCACCUCCUGAGCAUGUGGUCAAGAUGCACCCUUCACCUCCGCCAGCAUAUGCCAACCGUCCUCCACAGGCACCGCCACCGCCUCCACCAGCGAUGUUAAACAGUAGUGGUGGGUCGGGUUCUAAUUACUCUGGUGGCGAGAUCCUACCUCCACCAUCCCCUGGCGCUGCCCUUGGCUUCUCAAAGAGCACAUUCACGUACGAAGAGUUGGUAAGGGCAACUGAUGGAUUCUCUGAUGCCAAUCUCCUCGGACAAGGUGGUUUUGGCUACGUUCACAGAGGACUGCUGCCUAAUGGCAAGGAGAUCGCUGUAAAGCAAUUGAAACUUGGAAGUGGCCAGGGAGAGCGUGAGUUCCAGGCUGAGGUUGAGAUUAUCAGCCGAGUACAUCACAAACAUCUCGUGUCUUUGGUUGGUUAUUGCAUUUCUGGAGGCAAGAGGUUGCUUGUCUAUGAGUUUGUCCCCAACAACACAUUGGAAUUCCACUUACAUGGUAUGCCUUUUCUUCCAUUUUUGCUUCAGUAUCUGUGAUCCUGCAUUCCACAUGUUUGAUUUUUCUACUUGGUUUCUCAUUGGGACCAUGUUACAAAGUUUGAUUUGCACAUCUAGGAUUGUUCAGUUGAAGGCAGUCCUAUAGCUGCCACACUUCAGCUAAAUAAAAACUUCUCCUUCCCUUGAUCAUGAAAUAAUCACAUGCUAACCAUUCCUCAGAGCCACCGGCCUUUUCAAUGCCACUAUUGCCUGAAAAAAAAAAUCUGAUCAGCUGCAUGCCCUUCGGCACAAUUUUCUUUGCUUUAUUCAAGUUGGCAAUCCAGAGUCUUGCUUGCAAAAAGAAAAACCGCUUCCCUGUAGGGCAAUUCAUGGAUUAAUUGCUUAUCCUAAAAUUGGAUUGAGGCAUGCAUGAUACAAGUCGAUUGCUAUUUCCAUUUGUCUCCUCUUGCGCAUUGUUCUGACAUAUUUGCAUCUUCUGCAGGGAAAGAUCGACCCACAAUGGAGUGGCCCACUAGAUUAAAAAUCGCUCUGGGUGCUGCCAAGGGUUUAGCGUAUCUUCAUGAAGACUGUGAGUUUAAAUCCACAACAGCUAUCUAUAUUUAUUACAAUAUCUCAUGCUAAAUGUAGAAAUAUAGGAGGACCUAGUAUAACAUUUUUUUUUAUGUGCAGGCCAUCCGAAGAUCAUCCACCGUGAUAUAAAGUCAUCAAACAUACUUCUUGACUUCAAAUUUGAAGCUAAGGUAUGCUCUAGUUUCCUUUUUCUAUUCUGGAUGUUCACUGCUGACAGUCCAUUUCUACUAAAACUGAAAAUGUAUGUCUUAAGCAGUUCUUAUUUUAGGUUUACCAUCUUGACAAAAUUAUAUUACAUUAGGGCAUUUUGGCAGUCCACAAGUCAUCUCUGUUAAAGGCUUGGACGUUGUUGUAAUGUGGUUUCUGCUAUUUACUCUAUUUUGGAUUUUUGGUAGCCAUAACGUUUUGCAUGGUUUGAAUAUUGUCACACUAAUGGAAUUUUUCCAUAACCGCACUAAUGGAAUUUUUCCAUAACCGCAUUGGAUGAGAAGUUAUAUAGCCUUCUUGCUUGAAUGUCUAGGCCACUCGACUUAACUAACAAGCGACUCUGUACAGGUUGCAGAUUUUGGACUUGCGAAGUUUACCAGUGAUAACAACACCCAUGUUUCAACGAGGGUAAUGGGCACUUUCGGGUAUGUAUAAAUGCUACUUUGUAAUUGAAGUGUGGUGUUAGACAUUAUAGACAUGCUGCAUAAGCCACUGUUUGGCUAAAAUUUUAAAGCACGAGGACGUCAUUACUUAUGCAAUUUAGACUAGGUCGAUAAUAUGGUUAAUGAUACAACACCCUAGGGGUUUUAUUAACCUUGGCAUUUGCAUCAUAUUCUCAGCUAGCAGAGAGUUAUUCCAACAUUCAACUUGCUAUGCUGUAGUAAUAAUUAUGGCUUGCUAAUCCCACAUCUUCCUGGCUUUAGGUAUUUGGCACCUGAGUAUGCGUCCUCUGGAAAGCUCACAGAAAAAUCAGAUGUAUUUUCUUUGGGAGUCAUGCUUCUUGAGCUAAUAACUGGGCGGCGACCAGUCGACACAACCCAAACAUAUAUGGAUGACAGCUUGGUUGACUGGGUAAUUACUUCAAACAUCUUUUCUAGCUUUGAUGUUUUCAUAAGCUUUGAUGUAUUUCUUGACUUCUAUUAGUUAAGAAGCAUAUUUCUAGCCACUAGGUUGUAUUGUUGUUAAUAUAUAUUAUGGGUUUGUGGUCUUAUACUACCUUGAUAAAGUAUCUGUCUAUAGGUGACAUGUCAAUGUUGUUAACCUAGAAAGUAAUUAUCAUCUAUUGUUUUUUGGACUAUGAUGUAUUUCUCGACUUCUAUUAGUUAAGAAACAUAUUUCUAGCCACUAGGUUGUAUUGUUGUUAAUAUAUAUUAUGGGUUUGUGGUCUUAUACUACCUUGAUAAAGUAUCUGUCUAUAGGUGACAUGUCAAUGUUGUUAACCUAGAAAGUAAUUAUCAUCUAUUGUUUUUCGGACUAUGAUGUUGUGAUCUUCCGGAAAGUAACAUUACUGUACCAUCUGCAGGCAAGGCCGUUACUGAUGCGAGCACUUGAGGAUGGUGAUUAUGAUGAAUUGGUGGAUCCUCGGCUUGGAAAGGACUUCAGUCCUAAUGAGAUUGCAAGAAUGAUAGCCUGUGCUGCUGCAUGUGUACGCCAUUCUGCACGUCGUCGCCCGCGCAUGAGUCAGGUAAUUCAUAAACAUCUUUACCACAACCCUUGACUAUAUCCCUAAACAAAAACUUUCCAUCAACAUAAUCUGUUCAACAUCCACUUGGUGAAUCCAUAGCAUAACCUUGAGAAAUGUUCUGACUUCUGAGUUGGAACUUUGGUCAGUCUAGUUUCAGUGAAGAAAACAUGCUACACGGGGUUCCAUACAACUGCAUUGCACCAUUGUGUUCGCAAUCAUAGAUUCACCUGGUGGUUUAACAGUCUGUUGCCUGGUUGAUGAUGGCCAGGUUGUUCGGGCUUUGGAAGGCGACGUGUCGUUGGAGGAUCUCAAUGAAGGUGUCCGACCUGGUCAUAGCCGCUUCUUCGGGUCGUACAGCAGCUCCGACUAUGAUUCUGGCCAGUACAACGAGGACAUGAAGAAGUUCAGGAAGAUGGCGUUCAACAACAACAACUACACCAGCAGCCAAUACAGCGCGCCGACCAGCGAGUACGGCCAGAUACCGUCCGCGUCGAGCAGCGAGGGCCAGCAGACGCAGGAGAUGGAGUCGGGCGCGAUGAAGAAGAGCGGCUACAGCUCGGGAUACAGCGGAGCAUCGUGAGGGAAUUCCCUUCCUCUUUCUUUCUUUUUGUUUUCUUAUGACGUCUUCAUUGCUUGCAAUUUGUAAAGUCUGGCUGAGUUAUAUAACCAAAGUUGCUGACUUGCGUGUGGUGUACCCGAGUUUGACCCGAGUAUAGCUUCUGGUUAGCUGGAAUCGUUGAUUCUUUCAUAAGUGUCCAUGUUUUGCUGUGCAAUUGAAAGAGAGCUAAUUGACUGUUGAUAAUAAUACCCUGUGGCAUGGCUUCACUCCUCUUCGUCGAUGAGUCGUGUCAAUAGCUUUUUCUGUACCGUUUCUCCUGCGUCGAUUUGUUCAGGAGAUCUGUGGACUGUGGUGAUGUCGAUUCUCAUGAUCAGGUUCUUUUCCUGUGACUUUGUUCCAGUACAUGUAUGCUAUCACGGGUAAAACUAACUGGGUGUGAUGCUUUUACCGCAAGUGAAGUUUCUGCGAUUCGCUGGAGCCAGUUUGUUAGGCGGGGUGUCCCGGGAAGUCAGAUGUUUGGCGUGCUGUGGUUGCGGUUCCUUGGAAGCAUGGCACAUGCGACAGCUCACGGGAUGAGGCAUGGACGCCUGGUUGUCUCUCGCGUUCCUUCCUUUCCAUGCUUCUGCGGUGGCGUCCGACGCGUGACCCUGAGCGAAUGAAUGAAAUCUUGGAUGAGAGCCAAAGCCAACGCAGGUGCGCGCAUGUUGUUGGUCUAUAGUGGCUGUUGCACCUGUCGUUGCUGGGCCUAAUGUGUAUCUGACAUUCUGGCUCCCAUGCGUCACGUCUUCCGUUCUGGAGGCUGGAGACAUAUCAUCCCUGAAUCCGACGGCAUGUUCAGAGUCACCACUUGGUCCGUGGCUGGUUUGAUGGGCUGUCCAUUCUGGUGUGGCCUAAGGCUAAUGAUGAUUGGUAGUAGGUUGUCUAAAAGCAGGCUGUCCUUAACGUUUCUUGCCCUCCCUUUCCCUUGUGAAGAACUGAAGAUGGAUAUCUUGCCAGAUCAUGGCGUCUCCUCCUAGAUAGAGUUCCUAGUUGCCCAGGCGGGAGAGAGAAGCAAGCAGCCUGUGCUUACCAUUUCUCUUCGGAUGCAGCAGUUGGCACACCACUUGGGCUUAAGUUAAUUUAGAGAGGUGAAGAUGUGCACACACACACACAGUUUCUCACUUCUAGGGAGGGAGUUGGUGCUAACCUGUACAGCAACAGGAGCCAUAAUAUGUACGGUACUCCAGUAGGCAUGAUGAGCAGCCUUCCACUUGCCUCGGAUCCUCAGCAAGUCGUGACGGAUAAUUCCGUAUCAGAUUGCACAAACUCCGGCGACACAAGUUCGUGAUCCAUCAUUGACUUGACCCCCGGCUGGCUGGAGACCAAAUGUGAACGAACGAACGCCCAUGGGCCAUGGGAUGGAAGCUUCGUCAUCAGCACCGGAAGCCCUUGUUUUCCAGUCAGCCCUGGAAAACGCCCUUGUUUUCCGCGGGAGCUCGCAGCCUGCGGCAGCAAGUCGGCCAGCACAUGGCAAUACCUCCUUGCAUUAUCUUAUACAGAGACAUCACGUCGUCGUUGUGCAGUGUACCCACCACUAGUGGGAGCCCAAGUUGGUACCUGUGCUUGUCCUAGUAUGAGUAUUCCAGAGGAGAGCAGAUAGCGGACCAGAUUUGACUCGGGUCGUCGACGACUUGCCGUUUCUGCGCGUUCUCUGCAACCUCCUCCUUCGUCUAUAUCUCCUCUUCUUCCUUCGAAUAGCAGAGCAGGCGUGCAUGAAUCCCUCCAUCCAUCGUCACAAUUCAUACUUCCUACUACCUUACCUUGUUUGUCCAUGAAUCCCCUCCACAUAUUGCUCGCCCUUCUUCUCUUCGCUUCCCUGCGAGCUCCAGCUCCCGCUGCAGGCGCAACAACCGACACUCUCGCGGCAGGCCAAGCGCUCGCCGUCGGGGACAAGCUCGUCUCGAGGAACGGCAAGUUCGCGCUCGGUUUCUUCCAGCCAUCAGCCGACACCAGUAAGUCCGAUAACAUCACCUCCCCCAACUGGUACCUCGGCAUAUGGUUCAACAAGAUCCCAGUCUUCACAACCGUUUGGGUCGCCAAUAGAGAGCAACCAAUCACUGACCCCAAGCUAGCACAGCUGAAAAUCUCGAGCGAUGGCGACCUUGUCAUCGUAAACCGUACCACCCCCGAAUACACAGUCUGGUCCACUCGCAUAGCCAAUAGGACAGGAACCAGCACGAACACUACCAGUGCCGUUCUCCUGGACACUGGAAACCUUGCCCUCACCAAAAGCCCAUCAUCAUCCAACGUCACCUUGUGGCAGAGUUUCGACUACCCGACCGAUGUCGUGCUUCCGGGCGCCAAAUUCGGCCGGAACAAGCUCACUGGCUUCAACCGUCGGGGCGUCACGAGGAAGAGCCUCAUCGAUCCAGGUCUCGGCUCGUACUCCGUCGAGAUCGACACCACCGGGGUGGUCCUCAAGCACCGCAACCCGUCUGUGGUGUACUGGAGCUGGUUAUCCGGAGCGUCGACACUGAAGCUCAUACCGAUACUCAAGACGAUGCUGGAGGCCAAUCCACAGACCAAAGGUUUGAUUGACCCCGUAUAUGUUGAUGACGAUGAAGAGGAGUACUACAUGUACACUUCGCUAGACAACUCAUCUCUGACAUUCGUCUCACUGGACAUCUCUGGCCAGAUCAAGAUGAAUGUUUGGUCACAAGCUCAGCAGUCAUGGCAAGCCAUAUUUGCUCAACCUGCUGACCCCUGCACUUCGUAUGGUACCUGCGGACCAUUCACGACUUGCAACGGCACCUCACAUCCAUUCUGCGAGUGUAUGGAGAGCUUCUCCCAGAAGUCACCACAGGAUUGGGCGCUUGAUGACCGAACAGGAGGCUGCAUCAGAAACACUCCGUUACAUUGCACCAGUGAGAGAAACAAAACAAGUUCCACAGAUAUUUUCCACCCUAUUGCUCGUGUGACAUUGCCCUAUGACCCCCAAAGCAUAGAUGGUGCUACAAAUCAGAGCAAAUGUGAAGAAGCUUGCCUCAAUUCCUGCUCCUGCACUGCCUAUUCCUAUAAAAGUAGCAGAUGCUCUGUCUGGCAUGGGGAAUUGUUGAGUGUAAACAAGAAUGAUGGCAUUGACAAUAAUUCUGAAGAUGUUCUUUAUCUCCGCCUUGCCGCUGAUGAUUCGCCAAAUUUGAGAAGUAAUUCGAGUUGUUAUUUCAUUAGAGUUAUUAUUCCAGCAAGCAUAAUCGGUUCUGGGUUACUAAUCCUCACGUUGUUGUUCAUGAUUUGGAGAAAGAAAUUCAAAUGGUGUGGUGCACCGUUGUAUGACAGUCAAGGUGGUGGUGGAAUUAUAGCCUUUAGAUACACUGAUUUAGUUCAUGCCACUAAAAAUUUCUCGGAAAAGCUUGGAGCAGGUGGUUUUGGUUGUGUAUUCAAGGGAGCGCUAAGUGACUCGACUGCUAUAGCGGUGAAAAGGCUUGACGGUGCCAGUCAGGGAGAGAAGCAAUUCAGGGCUGAGGUGAGCUCAAUUGGACUGAUCCAACAUAUCAACCUAGUCAAAUUGAUUGGUUUCUGCUGUGAAGGUGAUAAGAGGCUGCUUGUGUAUGAACACAUGUCAAAUGGGUCUCUCGAUGCUCAUCUAUUUCAGGGCAAUGCUGCUGCCCUAAAUUGGAACACCAGGUAUCAAAUAGUCCUCGGGGUUGCUAGAGGAAUGUCCUACUUGCAUCAGAGUUGCCGAGAAUGCAUCAUACAUUGUGAUAUUAAGCCACAAAACAUACUCCUCGACGGAUCAUUUGUUCCUAAAAUUGCAGACUUUGGGAUGGCAGCAUUUGUAGGCAGGGACUUUAGCCGAGUUCUGACUACAUUUAGAGGAACUGCAGGGUACCUUGCCCCCGAGUGGCUUGGGGGAGUUGCUAUUACAUCAAAAGUUGAUGUUUACAGCUUCGGUAUGGUACUGUUGGAAAUCAUAUCAGGUAGGAGAAAUUCACCUGAAGCAUACAGCAGCGGAAACUAUCAUAUUGAAUAUUUCCCUGUGCGAGCUAUCAGCAAGCUUCACGAGGGAGAUGUGCAGAGUUUGAUGGAUCCACAAUUACAGGGCGACUUCAAUUUGGAAGAGGCUGAGAGGGUUUGCAAAGUUGGAUGCUGGUGCAUCCAAGAUAAUGAGCUUCAUCGGCCAACAAUGGGUGAAGUUGUCCGUGUUCUUGAAGGUCUGCAGGAGAUUGAUAUGCCCCCAGUGCCAAGGCUGCUUGCAGCUAUCACACAAGGCCCUGGAGCUAUAACAGAAGGCUCUGAUGCAUCUUCGGUGUGAUAAUUUAUAAAUACUAUGUAGUGGACGCUACAAAUCUUUGUUUCAGAAAUUUUUAAUGCUCAAAUUUGGAGCAGAAUGAAUAGAGGAAGUCUUCGAUUGCUAAAUCAUGUGUUCUUAUGGUCCCCUUUUCUCUUAUUUUACAUUUUAAUGAUCGACCAUGGCAUGCAAGCAUUGUACUCAAUUUUUUUUUCAACAGGAGUAGCAAAAUUCUGAGAACUAGGUGUGUGUAUGUUUGUUGAUGAUUCAUAUAGUUGACAUACCAGUACUAACUGCUUAAUUUAAAGAUAUGCCGCUUCUAAGUUGCUCAUUGAAAGAAGCCACCACUAAGUUAGGUUGUCCAAGAUAUGCUGUUAUUGAGGAUAACAUGUUUUCUUCCCUAAAAGAGGCAUUUUAUAUGGCCCCAUAUUUUCAGAUAGAUCAAUGCAUUUACCAAAUACUUGAAUAAUCAACCGAGGAAACAAGAAACUAAAACUACACUCUGAUCAGGUAUGAAUAAAGCUUUCAAGUAACUACAAUCUUUGUUACUAGCUAAACACUAAACAGGUAAUAAACAAGCACUAACUAUAACUGUUCCUAAACAGCAAAAUAAAUAUUCACUGGUCAUAAAUUAUCAAAGGCAGGGAUACUGACAUUAAAUCACAGCAGAAAACUAACACUGACAGGUUGGAACUAUCGGUUACCUUCUCCUGCAGAAUGAAGCACUUGCCCUGGGCGGCUGGGCCGAAUCAGAAUCUUGUGCCAUCGGGAUGACAUAAAGAUGGAGACGACAGGGAGCUUGGUGAUUGGUGCCCAGUGCGCCAAUUAUUGCAACCGGAGAGCAUCGCGCAACAGCCCUCAACUGAUGAGUGGAGGAGCUCUGCAAAAUUGAGAGUGCUUUCCAAUCUUUCAGGUUCGAUCCACAUGCCUCCUUAUUGAUGGAGCAUCACGUCUUGGAAGAGUGGAAGUGAAUCAUCAACAGCAGCUGAUGCCUGGCCUAACCAUAGUCCGGUCCCAGUCCCACAGAUGGCGGCGGAUCAGUCCAGAUCCUCGACGUCCAGGGGCGGAGAAGGUGAGGAUGGCGCAGAGCAUGAGGAUCUGCCGGAGUAUCAAGAGAAGGAGCAGGCGCAGAUCUCCGGCGUACCAUGCCGCCGGCGAGCGCCAUCGCCAUGACAGAUCUACGGAACCGAGGAGCACAGCGGGCGCAAAACGGGGGAUGAAUUUGAAACAUUGUUAUCUGACUUGAGGGGUUUUCUGCAAAUAUUUGGAUCGCGACUACUAAUCGCGAUCCAGAUCAAGGGGUUUCUGCAAAUAUUUGGAUCGCGACUAUUAAUCGCGAUCCAAAUCAGGGGUGUUAAUGUAAAUGUUUGUAUCGAGAAUAAUAAUCGCGAUCCGAAUUAGGGGGUAAUUUGCAAAACCGCUCCCUCCCCCGUCUCGCGCCGCCGCCGCCAGUCUGCGGCUGACUUUGGCGGCGAGGCCGCUGGGCUUCAGUCCUGAUGGUGAUGGAGACCACCCUAAGCUCCUCCAACUCUUCACCGGCUACGACGGAGGACACGCCAGCGCAGAGCAUGGAUCUGGCGGACGCUCCCAUCCUGUUCAGCACCGGCUCUCGCCGGAGCGGAGCGUCGAGACGAUGAGACGGACGGAAGCUUGGAGCCCUCGCUGCGCAGCGCUUCACGGUAUCUCACGUCCGCCGCCUCCCGCCAUCGGAGCUGCCAAGCCGUGGCUUUUCAUUGCGCCUGUCGUAGCUGAGAAUCCACGGCAAUGGCCAAUGGCAACCUUCACAGCUUCACUCCCCAUGGCGGCACUGAAAUCUACCUAAGGAUGUGAUGUUGACUCUGGAGCUGAUGACUCGUUUACCUCAAUGGGGCGAUAGGUCAAAACGAGUUAUCUGAUUUCAGUUAAGGAUCAGAAUUGCAUGGAGUUAUCAUCAUUAUCUCAUUUUCUAGCAAUGUCAACUCUGAAGAAAAGUUCAGACACUGUGGAUGGAAUGAACAGGGUUCCAGAUUCAACAUUGUUGUCAUACUGUGGUUAAUGGUUCCAAACUUCACAUAACUGAGGCUAGGGAUAUCCAUUCAAGAGAAAAUGAAAGACAAAGAGACCUAUGUUGUUCUAGAUUCACAUCAGUUAGAGAUUUCAAACAAAAAUAAAAUAACAUGGCGAUUGUCUGAUCUUUGGACGAGGAGGUGGAGAAUAGGCGAUGUUGCAAGAAUCUUAACGUACUCUAUGAGGUAGCAGUGCCAUAUGGAGCCUCAAUUUUCACUUGUACCAUUCACAGAAAGAUCUUAGCCAAACUGUAAUUACGUUUUCAUUUCAAUUGGGCAUGUAACUUUUCCCCCAAUAGGCAGGCACAUAUAAUUUCCUUGAUACAGCAGUGUUCAAUUAACCACAAUUUUCAGUCGGCAAGAUCUUAUUUAGACGCUGGCCUGCUACUAUAUAAUACGUUCUGGGGGGUUCUCCUUCCUCCUCGAUCGUGCUCCAUGGCGGCGGCGCCUCAGUUGCAGCUGCAGCAGGAGCAGCCGCAGCUGGUGCCGCACUUGCAGGUGUUGCAGUCACAGCCGCCGCUCUCCAUGGCGGCCUCGAACCCGCCGGAGCUCCUGCACCCAUACGCAGUCAUGGUUCAGUAACAACAGCAGCGGCGGCGACGAAUCGAGAAGACGAAACAAAGGAUCAUUCCGUACGACUUACGCCUUGUUGGUGGCGGCGACGAUGACCAUGGUGGUGGUGGUGGUGGAGGUGGCCUCCACGUCAGGGAACAUGUUGCAGCUGCAUAUAUGAUCAUUGUAAACACAUUCGUCAGUUCAGAUACAUGAUCAGUUACUGCAGAUUUCGUCAUGGAAAACGAAACAACGAUCUCAUCAGGUGUUGCGAGGUUCGAUUAGGUUCCUACCCGCCGCAUCCAUUGCCGCACGUGCAGCCGGAGCCGCACCCGCAUUUGCCGUUGCAGCAAGACAUGCUGAUGAUCUUGUUGAUCACGAGAAGGGAAGCAGGAACUGGUGCUGAGGAAGGUGUAGUGCUUCUUGCGCUCUGCUUCGCUUGUGAUGAGGAAUGGCGAGGGCGAGCAGUGGUAUAAAUAGGCCCGGCGCCCGGCGGCGAC